GCAAGAGCCUUGAUUCUUGACUGGUGUGACGGCACCGUAAUCCCUCCAAUCAAUGCUUUGAGGUAUCGCGGACAUGUUUACAUCCUCAAACGACACCGAUGGCUCUAAAUUUGUCAUAUUUAGAGGAAGAGAUAGACCGACAUGCUGAGCCACAAUUUCAUUAUUUGUCAUGUCAGCGAAUUGGUUAAUGCCCAGAGUAUACGAGUUUCCGCCACGCCUGUUAAAGGCUUCGAUGCGGUUUACAUUGUCUUUAAAGAUCUCAAAACGGCGCAUCUUCUCAGCAUCGUCACUGUAAACUCGGCCGAAAUCAGCCAUCCAUUCUUCAAACCUCUUCAUCAUCGAAUCAUCUGCUUCGCCGCGAGAAGCCAACGACGAAGCCCACAUCACAGAAAGAAACAAAAAAAGAAACAAUAUUUGGAAUUUGGAAGCCAUAGCUCUGACUUACAAAUGCUUUUGUUGCUGAGAGUUAGGCUCUCCGCAUCGAGUUUAUAUAGAAGUUCUCGGCCCAUGCACUAAAGUUGCUGGACCAUUAAAUNUCGAAUCAUCUGCUUCGCCGCGAGAAGCCAACGACGAAGCCCACAUCACAGAAAGAAACAAAAAAAGAAACAAUAUUUGGAAUUUGGAAGCCAUAACUCUGACUUACAAAUGCUUUCGUUGCUGAGAGUAAGGCUCUCCGCAUCGAGUUUAUAUAGAAGUUCUCGGCCUAUGUACUAAAGUUGCUGGACCAUUAAAUUUUAAUUUUUUAAAAACUUUUUUUAGAGGAAAAGAUACAACGUGCAUGUGAUGAAAUCAUUAAUUAAUUUCUCUCUUAUCCAUUGUUCGAUAGGAAAGUCGCAAUCAAGAGAGGUACAACUUUUCACUCCGUACGCGAGAGUUAUAGUGGCUGAGCUUGCCCCUCCAUGUGUGUUGACGUACGUCGUUGCAUGAUUGAUAAUACAGCAUGCGUUGCACAACAGGAAUUAAAAAUACAGCAUGUGCAUGCGCAACAGGAAUUAAAAAAUACAGCAUGUGUCGCACUAUAGGAAUAAGAAUAAGAGCCGCACAUAAUUUUAAAAUGAUAUAUGUACAUUAACAAAUAUUAUUAUUGUUUACAAUAGCUCUUUUUCUUUUUUUUUUCUUUUUUUUUUGAGAGGAAUCUCAUCAAAAAUAGAGAAUUGUCUAGAUAUCUAUCGUUUCCUGAUGUGUCGAUAUGUUGAAGGUGUUUUGGAUUAUAGUGGCGUUGGACCACAACAUACAUGUGAGUAGUUUAGAUAUCAUGUUAUUUUCUGUAGAUAUUUAAGAUUUCGAUAAAUUGAACUACAUGUCUCUAUUUUUUAAAAAAUUUGAUAUAUAUUUAAGACAUGACUCUUUCAAUUAUAUCAUGCUAGUUCUUAUUCUGAAUAAAAAAAAGGGCUAAAUUUUUUCUGAGUAGAUUUUUCUUUUUUCUUUUUCUUUUCUCUCUCUCUCUCUCUCUCUUUUGAGACCUAGUAGUCUUAUAUUUUGUAGCUAAGUUUAUUUUCGAAAUGAAUGAAGCAGAUAGCUUGCUAUCUUUUUCUCAAAAAAAAAAAAAAAAAAAGCUUAAAUUGAAUCAGUCAAACCUAUCCCCUGCUGUGUAUCAGUUACAACCUCAAUUUUAAAUAUGUUGAAAGGCAAAUUGCACUAAUAAUCUCAACAAACUUCUAUUUUUAGUCCUCAAUUUUAAGUUUUCAAUAUUUGGGACUCGUGACUAUCCAUUCUAGUGCUUAGUUAAAAAAAGUAAAAAAUACAAAAAAUUACGAGCAAAUUAAGCUAAAUUGUAGAAAAGCUCCUUACAUAUGUUGGAUUUUACACUUUUUCUUCAAUAUUUAAACUAUCAGCCAAAUCAUUAUAUACUUUACAACCACUCGCACCAAUAUAAAUUAAGAAGCGAAAAAAGUUCUAAUAUCGUGUUAAAGAACUGAAUCUAAUCAAAACAAAGUCACGGUAAAGAUAACUCUCACAUUAGAUGUACUAUUUAAUAUUAUCUAAUAAUAUAACCAAACAAGUACUCUAUAGAUGAGCGUACAUGCUAUCAGAAGCAGUCGAUGAGCUUCCCGUGCCUUCCAAGUCGUUUUGACUGUUGCGACUUGCGAAUCGUCGAUCGACUCCGUUAAACUUGAUCUAGAGUAUUUGAAGUACCUAGAAAAUAAAUUUUAUGAUUUUACGAUAUCAUUUGCCUAGUGAACGAAGGAGCUCAAAAUCAACGGCUGAAAAUAAAAAUCUUACAAAAUAUAAUAAUAUGACAUUAAAAUUUUAAAUCAAAGAUAUUUAUCUUGUUUUAUAUAGUAUAAAGAAUUUUCUAUCAAAAUUUCACGUGAUUUGGAUAUUUCUACACCGUUAAACUUGCAAACGGCUCACUACGGCCAUUGAAAUUUGUUGAUUUUGAGCCCAUUCGAUCACUAGGCAAAUAAUAUCGAAAAAUAAUAAAAUUUAUUUUCUAGGUACUCCAAAUACUCUAGAUCAAGUUUAACGGAGCCGAUCGACGAUUCGAAAGUCGCAAUAUCGAAAACGAGUUGGAAGCACGGAAGGCUCCGUGCUUCCGAUAUCAUAGUAGCCUCACUCCUCUAAUAAUAUAAUUUUGUAUUUUGUAUUUCAAUUAUAUAUACUUUCCAUAUUGACCCUCACAUUACCCCAUAAAUAUUCAAAACAAAUAAAUCUACAAAAAUAUUUUUUUUUGAGAUAUUUUUGUAUCAUAAUGUUGCAUGUGCAUGUGCAUGUGCAUGACUUUUCAAAUUGCCUGGGACAAAAAUAUUAUAUGUUUGGGGACUUUGCGGAUCGGCGCCACGUGGUCGAUUCAAUGGUCACGGAUCUCAGUUGCUUUUUCUCUCUCUCUAAAAACACAGAAUUUUUUUUUUGUCUUUCCAUCCGUGGCCAUCGGAUCGGCCACGUGGCACCAAUUUGCAUAGUCCCAAACACAUGCCCAUAAAAUUUUUGUACAAUUGUCUGGGGGCCAUCCCAAUAAUUUUGCAGCCAACGCAUUCAAUGCGGUGACAACUUAAAUUUAAUUAUUGGAGCAAGAAAAUGUGAAACCCUUAAACUUUAAGCGACUUUGAAAUAGCUCCUCAAUAUGGUUUUUCCCUCAUUGCCAUGUUUUAUAUUAGUUUAGGGUGUGUUUAGUUCUACCUAAAAUUGUUCCAAUUUUUUUUUUUCGGUUGAAAAGUAAAAUCUCAAAACAGAACCAGAAACCAUAAUGUCGAAGCAAACAACAGAACCAGAAACCAUAAUGUCGAAGCAAGCUUAGCAAUUGGAUGCAGCAAACAUCCAUAUUUAUGCAAGUUAAGCAAACAAGAUAGCAAACUGCAGUGUUGCUAAAUCAUUUGCUUCCCACUUAUUAAGAUGAGCACAAUGUCGAAAAAAUAUUAUUAUUAUACUUUCAAAAAUACAAUUAAUUUAUUAUUGAUAAUGUGGUAUAAAUAUGAUACGGUAAAUUUUCUCAUCGUCAUUUGUUUGGACCGAUACGAUGUAAUCGGGAGGGGUACAACUUUCACUCUUACGCAAGAGUUAUUGCUGUUGAUGUGUUGUUUAUUGGGACAAAAGUUUUAUAGGCAUAGUGCUCAAACUAAUUAAUUUGGAGAUUAUGCGGACUGAUGCCACGUGGCCGAUCCGACGGCUACGGAUGGAAAAAAAAAAAAAAAAAAAUUCGUGAUUUUAGAGAGAGAAAAAAAAGCACGGAGAAUCCGUGCCCGUCAGACUGCCACAGGGCGGCCGUAUCCGCAUAGUGCCCAACCAAACUAAUUAAUUGAGCACUACAGCCCAUAAAAUUUUUGUCCGUUUAUGGAAUUAUUUUUUCAGGAGAAGAAUGACGCUAAUCUGCUACCAUAAUAAAGAGGGUGAAUUAAUAGCUACAAGGAUGAGGACAGCAACGUGUCACAGAAAGAGAGACAGAAAAAAAAACAACGAAAAAAAACAUAGGAAGGUAGUUUCGAUUACAAGACCCAAAGAAUGUUCCAAGAGUUUUAUUGGAAUGAUACGCGAAUCAUGUUUGCACAACGGGAGGAGGAGCAAAUAAGAGAGCAAGCAUAAAAAUUACAACGCGAUUCACGCUCUCUUAAAAUAUUAUAAAUAUUUACAAAAUACCUUUUAAGCGAAAAUAGUCCCAUCAAAACAUAUGUUGAGAGUUACAAAUAAGGACGUGUUUUGGUUCGCUUUUUUUUCGCGCCUGGAAUCAAACUUCGAAAUCGGAAUGGGUAAAUCACAUUUGUGGGUGUUGGUACGGCGGAGUGCCAUCCAAUUCCCGAUGCCCGAGUGGACAUGGAAUCCCCCAAUCACUCUCUUUUCAUUCCGCGGCUUAGGAGGCCGAAUUGAAAUUGAAUCCGACGGAAUGAUAUUUAAUUCGGAUUAAAUUUAUUUUUAAUUGUUUUUAAUUAAACAUAGAGUUAAAAUCAAAAUUAAAAAUAUAGUAAUUUUUAAAUUUAAUUUAAAACCUAAAUUAAAAUUAAAAUGUAAAUCAAAGUAUUUCGAAUACUAAACUUAAUGAAUUGAAUUUAAAAAUUAAAUUUUAAAAUUUAUAUAAAGUUUUAUUCAAAUUUAUUGCAACCCUAAAUUAAAUUUAUGAUUCAAAUUAAAAAUUUAAAUUUGUAAAUUUUAAGUUGAAUUUGAAUAAAUCUAAAUUUAUUUCAUAUUUUUAAUUCAUCACACUCACUUAAAGUUUAUUUUUUUAAAAAAAAUAGAUUUUAAAUUUGACAUUAUUCAAAUUUUGAUAUAAAUUUUAAUAUUUAAUUUUAAUUUGAAUUUAAAUUAUAUAUGAAAAGAUAAUGUUAGUAUAGUUAAUUGAUUACUUUUUAUAUCCACCUGAACCAAACACUGAAUAAGGAAUGAUUUAUGCGAUUCCGAUUCAAGGUAUUAAACCAAAUCAGGGAAUAGUAAGAGCAAUUAACAAUUCCGAUUCCAGCUUUUGGAUUCCGAUUACGCGAUUGCCGACUCCGAUUUUCGAACGACAAACACUGCCCUAUUACCAUUGACUUUUACCAUUGACUAUUAUAUAUCUAUUAAUAGUCGGCUUAAAUUUUUAUAGUGAUAUCAAUAAAAAGGGGGGCGACGAUAUUGCCCAGGCCAUUCAUUGAAGAGGACAUGACCCUACAUAUUUUUGAAAUGCCCUCUAAAUAUUUUAUGCAAUACAUUUAUAUCAUCAUGCAUCACAAUGAAUAAUUAAAAAUAAAAAUAAAAAUAAAAAUUAGAAUUAAAACUAAAAUUAAACUUUUAAUGUAAAUAAAAGUGCAAUCAAAUUUAAAUCUAAAUUUAAAUUGAAAUAAAUAAAACUAAUUCAACAUCUAAUUUGACAAGUAACAUUAGUGAAUUCUUAAUUGGAUUCAAUUGAAUUUUCAAAUUCGAAUUACAUUUGAGUGCAGCUAAGAUCAAAGUUUAAAUGAAAAUUGACCAAAUAAUGUAAGCUGAAAUGCAGCUAUUGCGUUACAAGUGCCUGGUAAUGCUUGAUAAGGAUAGUAAAGCGCGCUUCGACAGGUCACCCGUUGUUAGAUAUUAUGAAACGUAGCCUUGUCCACCCAACCGCCUGCACCCAUAGUCCGUAGUUUAAUAAUACAACAGCACAAUCGAGAACUUCUUUCUCCGAAAGAGAUACUAAUCCCUGCUUUGACUUGUAGAUCUCUUUCACUGUCGCAUAUUGCACUGAAGCCUGCAAAACCUAUGCAGAACAAAGUUUUACGUAGCAUAACUAACUAGAGACAAAGUUAUAUAAUGAUAUACGCAUGAACUAAGGAAACAUUCAAACUAACAUAAUUAACGUUAUUUGCAAGUACAGAGCGCUUUUAACUUGUUUAAGAUUUUGAGUGUUAUAAAAUUGUCACCUAAAAGAUAUUGGCGGUUUGAACUCUCAUACACGACAUGUUUCAAAAUUUAGAAAAUUAACUAGUAGAGGAAAAAGUACAGACUAGAGGAUCACAUUUCGGAAAUUCUGAAGAUGAUUUUUCGGCCAAUCCAGAUUCGCAGCACACAUUAGAACAAAAUAAUGAUUUGAACACUCUAACAAGAUAUAGCAGUGUUGCGCACUUUAAUAUGCACAAACAUAACUAUACGAAGUAUGUUGUAUACAUUAAAUUUACUAUGUCCAAAUAAUAGGUUAAAGAUGGAAUACGAAUGAGAUUGAUUUCUUUUUUUUCCGCUACAACUCAGUUAGGUUUUGUUCUUUUACAGUGGCGUCCGACCGCAAACAUACAUCAUACCGAUUAUAUACUCAGAUCCAAUUUUAUUCGAACCAGAUAAUAUAGAAUUUGUAAUGCACUAUAGUCCUAAAACCUUAAUUAGUUAGGCUAAAUAAGAAAAAUCCUCUUGUUAACCAUCUGUUUUCACUUCCUCCAUGCUGCAUUUAAAAAUCUAUAACCUUGCGCCCCCCUAAAAAUAAAAAAUAUUCAUAUUCGGUUCCUGCCGUCAGUUUCUAGUUGAGGUUCCAUUUCAUAUCUUAUUUUUGUAAUUCAAAAUAUUUCUGAAUUCUCAUCUACUAUCCACACACCAUGACCGCCUCGCUCUGCCCACUCCCCUUCAUAGCGUAGAUGCAUCCACGCCUGCUCUCUGCCGCCUGGAAUGACAAGAUUGGGGAACAGAAAUAAAGAAAAGUAGGAACAUUUGUUCAUCUUUAUCACACCAAUAUCAUUCUAUAAAUACGUUUUUAUUUUUCGAUAAAAAAAGCAAAGUAUCAUGAUUUUUUUUUAAAAAAAACAAGAAAAACGGCUUUGCUAAAGGUUUCAUAUAAUAGCCAUUUAAUUAAUGCGAGCAACAUUCGCAAACUGAAAAAUGCUAGAAUGCACGGUUAUAAUUAGUGACCGUACGCGGCAUAACAAACCAAUUACAUUAAUCCUUUUAAAAAUAUAUGUCCGCAUCAUGAAUGUAAAGAGUAUUUAUUGUACUUUAUUUUGAAAAGAUGAUAUGAUUGGCUUUUAUGAGACGUGGUGCAAAUGUGACAGUGAGAUUCCUCUUCCAAACAUAAGGCACGCCCUCAGCUCAAACAUUCCAAACUAGGUCCAAACGUUCUUCUUUUUUUAAAAAAAAGUUGAGUUUUGUUUUUAUUUUUUUGAUAAUUAGAUUAAAAUAUUAUAAGAUUUUUAUCAGAUUUUCCUGUGAUCCAUCAAAUUUAAACAGUUGACCAUUCUGCAUUGAACUUAAUAAUUACUAAAAUUCAAGAUAUAUUUAUCAAAUAUAUCAAAUAAAAAUUCAUAUAUUUACAUAGGCGAAGGUACGUAGGACGUAAUGCAUCCCAAAUGGAUUAACCAAGUUCAUCGCAUCGAAACCAAAACGCAUACUUAACAAAAAACGCGUCUUUUAUUUAGUAACUGCCAAAGAUGAAGAACCAUUUCGGUCAGAGAACACCUAAUAUUUUUAAGUAAGAUUCAAAAAACCUCCAUGUGAAUUCGUAGUUUCUCACUGUUGCCUCCCUGUGUUUAAAAUGUAUCAAUUGCUCCCCCGUGUUCUUUUUCUCUUUUUUAUCAUUGCAUUUAUUUUUUAUCUUAAUCAGUCUAAAGUUAAAAUAAAAGUAUAAAAUAAAUAUUUGAUAACUCUAGAUGGAUAUCUGAAGUUUUGUAUAUAAUUUGAUGAAAUAUUAAGAAAAACUACCAAAAAAUAAAAAUGAAACCACAGGGGGCAAUAUUGAUACAUUUUACACCACAGGGAGGUAAGUGAAAAACUACGAAACCAUAGAAGGGAGUUUUUGAAGUUUUUCUUUUAAAAAAAAAAAAUUAUUUAAAUAGACUAAUUUUUUUAAAAAAAUAUUAUUUAUUUAUGUAAUUCAAUGACUAUAAUUGUAAUAGAAUAAAUUUUCUCAUUUAUUGAAUAUUUUUUUAAAAAAAAUUUUUUUUUAUUGUAAAUUUUUGAUCCGUCUGCUGAUCUCCAUCUAUUAUGGUCAGAAUUGAGAGAAAGCUAGAUACACAAGCCAUUGCAUAAGUUACAGAUAUGGUGUGGCUCAGUCGAGUAGGUUAACGGCAAACCCUUAUUUCCACCCAUAGUUGGCCGCACAUACACAAGUUGCAUUGCAUAAAGAGACCAUGUGAUCCAUUUAUAGUACUAACCAAGGCACACUAGUCCACAUAAAUGAAGGACACAUCAUUAUAGAUUUCAAACUUAACAUACUGAUAGAGACACACCGGAAACAAAACAGAAACCCACAAUGUCGAAACAAGCUAGCACUUGAUGCACGCAAAAUCCUUAUUUAUGUAAGAAACGCAAAUAAGUAGGCAAACUAGCAGGUCGAAAAAAUCAUUUGCUGUUCCGACUUAUUACGUAGCUUCAAUUUCAGAAACCCAUCUUAAUAACUUCGGCAUUAGCCCUGAUUGGAAGUAGGAAUAGAGGAGACAUGCGAUUCCACAUACUCCAGAAGACGAUACACAACUCUGCCCAUAACGACGUAUCCACUUCUCCCCCCAUGACUGCCCCCACGAGUCCUUACUAUCUAAUAUUUUUAGUUCCACGGCUAUCAUGCCCGUACCUAUAAUGGUAAUGGCAUGAUUAGAGACUAGUUCACACAGGUCCGGCGCUAAACACAACCCCAUUGUAAAUUGAAAGUUUCACUGGCAUCGAUAAGAGCACUAUGUUGAUUCGACACAGCGCGUACAUAUGCUGCGUCAAUCGUUCCUUCGCACAUAUGAAUAACCAGUAAUGUAAGCUGAAUUAGAACAGCUAUUGGCGUUUGGCAAGUGCCAUUGAGCUAUGCUUGAUAAGGAUAGUUUUUCGUGGUCACACCGUUGUUUAUGAUAUGAUGAAAUCGAGGCCUUGUUCACGAAACCUAGCCGCCUUUGCAACCGCUACUACAGCACAUCGAGGAACUUCUUGCUUCCGAUAAAGAUACUAAGUUACCCCUGUUUUAUCUGUAGAUUCCCUCACCGUCGCAAUUGCACGAAUGACCAGCAAGAACCUAUGCCAAACAAAAGAUACGCGUUAGCAUAACGACGAAGCAAAGUUAUAUCUGAGAUGCAAUGAUAUAACGAAUAUCCUCACAACUCAACAAUAAUAUAAAUGUUUUUGGCAAUACAGACUGCUUUUAACUUUAUUUCAAACGGUUUGUCAAGGCAUAUGGAGUCCUGUUCUUUUUGACUACAACGACUUUGGCUUACUUUAUAUAACUGAUUAUGGCAUAACUCAAUUAAUAGUAAGAGAACUCAGCAAAUAGAGCUAAUUGCAAAUAGAUUGAAUCAAGUCGAAGCCUGUGAACAUUGUCCUUGAAUCCUUAAAUGCGAUGGAUGUGUCCUUUUUAUCACCAUGUAUGUAUUUUUGGAUAGUUAAUUAACACUUAUAUAUACAUUUGAUGGCUAAGUUGAUUUUUUAUUAACUAGAUUCAAUACUUCAUUUCUUUGUACAUUGAUAAUGUGUGAUUAUACAUGUUUAGACACUUUUAAUCAGCCAAAGUAAUGGAAUUAUUGAGUUUUAGUGGGCGGAAAUUUGGUCCUUUUGUCCAGAAAAGGCAGAAGGCAUUCGGUAGCAAGCAUAUUUGAUCUAAGCAACAUGUUAGCAGCAUCUUAUAAAGUUAACUAAGAAUAAUUUUUUUUUCUUUUUUCUAGUUGAAGAAAUGAAGUUGCAUUGACAAUUUAUAGUCUAAAUUAUUUCUUACCACAGGGGUUUUGAUUCUUGACCUCGUUUACGGCACCAUAGUCUCUCCAAUCAAUACUUUGAGGCACCGCGGAGAUGUUUACGUCAUCAAAUGACACCACUGGCUCUCUCUCGAUAUUUAGUGGGAGAGAUACGCCGGUAUAUUGAGCAACAAAUUCGCUUUUUGUCAUAUCGGUAAACUGAUUGAUACCGAGAGUGUACGAAUUUCCGUUGCGACUGUUAAAGGUUUCGAUAUGCUUCACGUUGUUCUUGAAUAUCUGAAACCGGCGCAUCUUCUCGUCGUUGUCCUUGUAAACUCGGCCAUACUCCGCCAUCCAUUCUUCAAACCGCUUCAUCAUGGGAUCACUGGGUUCGUCACGAGAAGCUGCCGAUGGCGAAGCCCACAUCACACAGAGAAACAUGAAAAGAAACACGAGUUGAACUUUGGAAGCCAUGCUUAUGUAGCACUAAAUAUGUAUGAGGAAAUUGGAGAUGGAGCUACAAGAGCUUUUGGUGCUGAGAGUAUGGUGUCAAGAUCGAGUUUAUAUAGAAGUUCAUGCCUUGGAAUGUAGGUGCGAGAAUUAUUGUGUGGGGGCCUACAAGAUGUCACAAAUCGCCAUCAAAUUAAGAUUAAAUAGUUCUGGACCGCUUGCGGCACCACGUCAUGUGGUCACUAGUGUAGUGAUUUGCUUAUUACGUCGGGCAAAUACUAUUGACAUAAAAAUUGGUACAAAAUAAAAUAUCAGUUUAGUAUGAAAAAAUAGUAAAUAUAGUUUAUAUUAUAAACAAACACUUCUAAACAAAAUAAAACUAAAAUGAAAAAAAAUUAAUCAUUCCAAUAAAAUUAUUCAAGCUUGUUAAAAAAAAUCGCAUAUCAUACAAAUGGAUGAUUAAAAUUAUUUUUAACUUGGGAUGUCUCCACCAGAUGGAUGCGAGGCAGAGACUCAUUGUCAGGAGCAGCAAGAGCACUUUUCGACUUAUGCUUUGUUGGAGCUUGUUGGGAACUUUGGAAGGAACGGAAUUCACGGAUCUUUUAGCAACCAACACUCGACGUACGACGAACUAGGAAGGAUUGUUGUUUCCAUCGUAAAGUUCUGGGAAUCUAUUUUGGGGUCCUAAUUGUGAAUCGUUUUGUUUGUUUUACCCUGUUAAUUAGUGGUCCUGUUCUGUUAAUUAGUGGUCCUGUUGUGCUUUCUGAAGUUAGCUCAAGGGGCCUUCUUAGGGAAAGCCAAGCUAGCUCUGCUAUCUUAAGAUGUAUUCUCUGUUUCAAAUAUAGUAUAUUCCUGUUUAAUCAAAAAAAAAAUAUUUUUAUAAUACAAUAAUCAGAUAAAAUAUCAUAUAACAGUUGAUAUGACUAAAAAAAACUCACAAUAACUGACCGUUCCUAGAGCAAGUGGCAAAGGGCUUGGUGAUUGGUACCCGAGGUCCCAAGUUCGAAUCCUAGUUGAUUCACAUUUCCAGCUAAGUUUAUUUCUAAAUGAAAUAAACGAAGCGGGUAGCAUGCUACCUAUCUAAAAAAAAAAAAAAAAAAAAAACUCACAAUUAUACGCAAGACAAAUACUAUAUAUAUAAACAUAUGUAAUUCGGUCUAUCGACAGACUAUUUUUUAGCGGAAAAAAAAAUGAUUCACUUCUUACUAAAAUAAAUAAUGUAAUGAAAAAAACUUUUAAUACUUUUUAUCAUCUAAAAUAGAAAAAAAUAUACUUAUUCAAAAUUUUGUCAACCGAAAGAUAUUACUAUAAAUCUAUAUUUUAAUUCAAAAUUAUUUAAUAUUUUUUUAUCUCUAAAAAUAAAAAAAUUCAUACUAUUCAAAUUUUUGCUACAAUAUCUAAUGUAAAUCUAUAUUUCAAUUCAAAAUUUAAAAUUAAUUUAAAAUUUAAAUUUAAAAUUUGAGAACUAUCAACAUAUUAAAAUAAUUUUAAAUAUUUUUUUUUCCAUAUUAUAGUGAACGAUUAUACUUAAUUACCAUUAGAAAAUAAAGAAGUUACCUUAAUUUAUAUGAUUUUACUCCAACCACUUUCAUCUACUAGCAUGCUCCAGUUCCCAAAUGUGUCUAAAUUAGAAGACAAUCCAAAUAUGAAAGCGACGAUUAGAAGUUGACAACUAAAGUUAAUUUAAUCGUUAAACUUCAAUUUACUCUCCGCUGAUUUUAGCUUAUUUUUUUAAAAUUUGAUUUUUACUGUAGUUCAAAAUUGCCUUAAUUAUCAUAUAAUUUUAUUUUUAUUUUACCGAUAGAAUUUGACAUAAGUUAGCAAAGUAAAUUUUUUUUAAAAAAAAUCAUAAAGUGAUAUCUGCUUACCAAUAAAUUCUUACAAUAAAAUAAAAAUAAUAUUAGUAAAAUAGUUAAGUAUGUAUAACUUUUCAAACCACGUAAAAAGUGAAUUAAAAAAUAUUAAACAACAGUAAAAAAAUUAAAAUUACUCGAUCCCAAUUCAUUCAUUUUCUUCAUCCAAAGAUUCUACAAUCUCAUUCUCUCAACGACAUUCGAGUGCAAAUUAAACAUAUACAUGUUACACCAAAAGUCAAAUCAGGCAUUAUAAUUUUUUUAAUAUAUAAAUUUUUAAAACUUUAUAAAAUUAUAUCAAAUAAAUUAAAUUUUAAUUUCAAAUUUUUUAGAGGAAAAGAUAAUUAGUUACACAUUUUGUUCAUUUUGAGAUUUUUUUUUUCCCCAAGUAAAACCUAAUAAGUGAUGUAGUGCCGGCAUGCAUAUGCUGAUCCUUGAAAAUUUUUAAGUAUCGUUUGGUUUGGAAAUAAGCAAAAAGUGGUUAUUCCAGGAAUAGGUAUAAAUUGAGGUAUAAGUAGGGGUUAUAUCAAUUUUGAGUUUGGAUGAAAAUUAGAUUUUUUUUUUUUUAGAAUAAAAAAAAAGUAUUUGGUUAGGUAAGAUGUAAUAAAAAUUUAAAUGGAUAGUUAUAAAUAAAAAAUAAUGAUGUUAUCAUUUUCUUUAUAUUAAAAUUUGAAAUUUGAAAUUUUAUAUUUAUAUUUUAGAAUAAAUAUAAACUUUUAAAUUUUAAAAUUUCAAAAUCUCAAAUUUACAAUUUUAAAAAUUUAAAAUUUAAAUUUUAAACUUUAAAAUUAAAAUGAAAUUUUAAUUUAAAAAUACAAAAUAUCAAAUUCUAAAUAUAAAAAAUUUAAAAUAUCAAAUUUUAAAAGUUAAAAUUAAACAUGAAUUUUUUUGUGUUUGGGGGAGCACGACGAGGGGGGACAGAGGAGCGAAGCGGAGGGGCGGGGGGUGAGGUGGUGGGUGUAUCUGCGUGUGUUGUGUUUUUAUAUAUGUAGGUGUAUUUUUUUGAUUUGGUUUAUUUAAAUUGUUGCAAUUAUUUUUUAAGUUACGCCUAUGGAUAACAAUACUGCGCCAAUUUAAAAAAAUUCUUUAAUUUGAUGGUCUGGCAGUAUGUCACAUUCUCGAUUGUUCGUAGCGUGUGCUUAUCAAUAUAACGACUACAUUUUAAGGACUAUCGUCUUAGGGUAUAACGGUGAGAAUAUCUCACAACUCAACGAGNNNNNNNNNNNNNNNNNNNNNNNNNCAGACUUUAUCAAAUUUAAUUUUAAUUUAAAAAUUUUAAACUAUUUAUGUGAUGUAUGCGGAUGAUGAAAAUAUUGAUAAAUAUCUAGAGGCAUUUUCAAGAAUUUGAAUAUCAACUAUAUAAAAUUUAUGAGACUCAAGUGAUAUAUAACAGGCAAUGGUAGAAUAAGUAUUUUGUAACUAUCACGAUUAUUUUGGAUUGAGACUAAUCGUUUAACGUGAGCCUUAAUUGACGGUAUAAAUAAUUUAUGAGAUUUUUCUUAUCACUCCUCCUCCUCCGUAUGCGCAACACGUGCUCCGGUAAUAAUUCCAAUACACAACACAUCCUGCAGUAACUCUUGUUACGGAGUGAAGGUUUGUCCGCCCCCUCAUUCUGAUUGCAUCUGUCAACGAAAAGGACGAACAAAUGCUUUCUAAUAAUAUAGGUACCUGCCGUUAUCUGUCCUAAAUAAAGGUUUUAUAGCUUUGCUUGCGAAAAUGUUUACUAUAUCAUACUUACAUCGCAUCACAAUAAUAAAUAUAUUAUAUAAUUUUUAAUAUAUAAUAAAAUUUUUUUAUAUUAUUAUAAUAAAUAAAUUUAAAAAAUUCUUAAUUUGAUUGUGGAGAUGUCACUUAUCAAUAUAACGGAUACAUUUAAGACUAUGUUCGGUUAGGGGAUAAGGUGGAAUUUAUUCACCCUCAUCCCCAAACACAAAAAAAUUCUUUUAAUUUUACUUUAAAAUUUGAUAUUUUAAUUUUUAUAUUUAGAAUUUGAUAUUUGUAUUUUAAUUAAAAUUUCAUUUUAAUUUUAAAGUUUAAAAAUUUAAAUUUUAAAUUUUAAAUUGUAAAUUUGAGAUUUUGAAAUUUUAAAAUUUAAAAGUUUAUAUUUAUUCUAAAUAUAAAUAUAAAAUUCAAAUUUCAAUUUAAUAUAAAGAAAAUGAUAACAUCAUUAUUUUAUUAUACUAUACCAUUUAAUUUUAUUACAUCAUACUAACCAAUACUUUUUUUUUAUUCUAAAAAAAAAAAAAUCUAAUUUUUCAUGCAAACCAAAAUAUGAUAUACCCCUUACUUAUACCUCAAUUAUAGCUAUUCUCUGGAAUAACAUUUUGAUUAUUUCCAAAGCAAACGAUACUAAAAAUUUUCAAGAUCAGCAUAAUGCAUGCCGCACUACACUUAUUAGUUUACUUUGGGGAAAAAAAAAAUCUCAAAAUGAACAAAAAUUUAACUAAUUAUUUUCCUAAAAAUUAUGAAAUUAAAAUUUAAUUUUAUUUGAUAUAAUUUAUACCAGUUUAAAAAUUAUAUAUUUAAAAAAUUAUAAUGCCUGAUUUGACUUUGGUGUAACAUGUAUAGUUGUAUAAUUUGCACUCGAAAUGUCGUUGAGAGAAUGAGAUGUAAAUCUUUGGAUAAGAAAAGAAAUGAUUGGAUCGGUUAAUUUAAUUUUUACUGUUGUUUAAUAUUUUUAAAUUCAUUUUACGUGUUGAAAAGAUAUACAACUUAACAUAUUACUAAUAUUAUUUUUAUUUUUAUGUAGGAAUUAUUGUUAAGCAUGCUACACUUAUGAUUUUUUUUAAAAAAAUUACUUUCUAACUUAUGUAAUUCUAUGGGUAAAAUAAAAAUAAAAAUUAUAUAAUUAAGUGCAAACUUUCGAACUGCAGAAAAAACAAGGAACAAUCUACUAAAUCAGGGAGAGUAAAUUGAAGUUAACGAUAAAUAACUUUAGUUGCUAACUUCUAACUCGGCUUUCAUAUUUUUGGAUUUGUCUUCUAAUUUAGACACAUUGGGGAACUGCGAGCAAUGCUAGUAGAUGAAAGUGGUUGGAGUAAAAUCAUAUAAAUUAAGGUACAACUUCUUUAUUCUAAUGGAUAUAAGUAUCGUUCACUAAUAUGGAAAAAAAAUAAUUUUAAAUAUUUUAAUAUGUUGAUAGUCCAAAAUUUAAAUUUAAUGUUAAUUUUAAAGUUUUGAAUGGAAAAUAUAGAUUUACAUUAGAUAUUGUAAAAAACAUUUGAAUAAGUAUGAAUUUUUUUAUUUUAUAGAUAAAAAAUAUAAUAUUUGAUUAAAAAUAGAUAUUAUAGUCAAUAUCAAUUCGGUUGACAAAAUUUGAGAUAAGUAUAUUUUUUCUAUUAAGAUAAAAAGAUAUAUAAAAGUUUGUUUCAUUUACAUUAUUCAUUUACGUAAGGAAGUAAAUCAUUUUUUUUCCUGUAAAAAAUACGGUCUGUGAUAAAUUAGAAAUAUGUUGUAUCUUGCGUAUAUAUAAUGUAGUUUUUUUUUUUUUUUUUUGAUAGGUAAGCAUGCUACCAUCGCUCGUUAUUCAUUAGAAAUAAACUUAGCGGAAAUGUGAAUCAACUAGUCGAACUUGGGACCUCGGUACAAUCAUCCCAAGCCCUUUGCCACUUGCUCUAGGAACGGUCAUUAUUGUGAGUUUCUUUUAGUCAUAUCAACUGUUAUAUACUAUAUUUUAUCUGAUUAUUGUAUUAUAAAAAUAUUUUUUUUUGAUUAAAACAGGAAUAUAUAUAUUUGAAACAGAGAUACAUCUUAAGAUAGCAGAGCUAGCCUUGCUUCCCUAAGAAGUCCCUUGGACUAACUUCAAGACAACAUGACCACUAAUUUAUAUUAAUCGAACAGGACCACAUUAACAGGGUAAAACAAACAAAAACGAUUCACAAAUUAGGACCCAAAAUAGAAUUCCCAGAACUUAGAUGAAACAAACAAUCUUCCUGAUUCGUCGUAGCGAUGUUGUUUCUAAAGAUCUUAUUCCGUCUCAAAGUUCCCAAACAAGCUCCAACAAGAGCAUAAGUCGAAAAGUCGCAUCUUCUGCCCUGACAAUGAGUUCUCUGCUCGAUCCAUCUUGUGGUAGACAUACUCAGUUAAAUAAUUUUAAAUCAUCCAUUUGUGAAUCGAAGCGAUUUUAAUCAAUUUAAAUUUUAUUGGACAUAUAUUUUUUUCAUUUGUUUUAUUUGUUUAGUAAGGUUUGUUUAUAAAUUAAAUAUAUUACUAUUUUUUCAUACUAAAAACUGAUAUUUAUUUUUACAAUUUUUAAUGUCAAUAUAAUUGCCCGACGUAAUAAAGCAAAUCACUACACUAGUGACCACAUGCGUCGGGUGCCGCAAGCGGUCCAAACUGAUUUAACUAAGUUUUGAUGCGAUUGGUGACAUCUUGGUAGCCCCACACAAUAAUUCUCGCACCUACUUCCAAGGCCAUGAUACUUCUAUAGUAAACUCGAUCUGACACAUACUCUCAGCACCAAAAGUCUUGUAGCUCCAUCUCAAUGUUCACCAAUACAUAUUAGUUGCUACAUAAGCAUUGGCUCUCCAAAGUUCAACUCGUUGUUCUUUUCAUGUUUCUCUGUGUGAUUGGGCUUCGCCAUUUUCGUCAGCUCUCGGACUGAACCCUAGUUGUAUUCUCCAUAUGAUUGUAACGGUUAUAAUUUGAGAUAUGGAUGGCGAGUAUUGGCGAGUUUACAAGGACAACGACGAGAAGAUUGCUCGCGUUUCAGAUAUUUCAGUAACAAGCGUGGAAGCAUUAUCGAAACCUUUACACAAGUUCGCAACAGGAAUUCGGUACACUCUCGGUUCAAUCAGUUUACCGAUAUGACAAUAAAGCGAACUUUGUUGCUCAAAUAUUAACUGGCUAUCUCUCCCACUAAAUAUGAGAGGAGAGCUAGUUGUGUCAUUUGAUGGACGUAACACAUCUCCGCGGGUGCCUCAAAGUAAUUUGAUUGAGAGAGACUAUUGGUGCCUAAACGAGGUCAAGAAUCAAAACCCCUGCUGGUAAGAAAUAAUUUAGACUAAUAAUUUCUGCAACUUCAUUUCUUAACAGAAAAAAGAAAAAAAAUUAUUCUUAGUAACUGUUAUAAGAUCUGCUAACAUGUUGCUUAGUUUUUUAUUCUUCCCGAAUGGCCCCUUCUGCUUUCUGGACAAAAGGACCAAAUCCGCCCACUAAUUUUCUGCUGAUAAAAGUUCUAAACAGUAUAAUCAUUUUUAUUUCAAUGUACAAAGAAAUGAAGUAUUGAAUCUAGUUAAUAAAAAUCAUCUUAAGCCAUCAAAUGUUAUAUAAGGUAAUUCACUAUCCAAAAAAUACAUUUUGGUGAUACAAAAGGACACUUUUUAUCCAUCGCUUUUAAGUGAUUCAAGACAUAUGUCCUACUUCGACUUGAUCAAUCUAUUUGCAAAUUAGCUUAUGCUGUGUUUUUUACUAUUAAUUAAAGUUAUCAUUUAAUCAUACCUACUAAAGUAAGCAAAGUACGUGUUAGUUCAAAAAACAGGACAUCAAUGCUGAAACCGUUUGAAAACAUUUUUUAUAUCAAGCAGCUCUGUACUAAAUUUUAAUUAUGUUAGUUAUUUUAUAUUCAUAGCAACUCAGAUAUAACUUUGCUACUUUUUUUACGCGUAUCUUUGUUUUAGGCAUAGGUUCUGCUGGGUCAUCGCUGCAAUUGCGACGGUCGCGAUUGGGAUAUUCUACAAGAAAAACAGGUAUUAGUAUCUUUAUCGGAGCAAGAAGUCUCGAUUGUGCUGUUUUUAUUUUGGCGUGUGGUAUACUAUGCUUAGCUGUGUAUUCAUAGUUCUGAAUCAUCUUUCACAGAUCUGAAUUUAAAUUUUAAAUUUGAAUUCAAAUUUUGAACUUAAAAUUGUAAGUCAAUUUUAAAUCUAAAUUAAAUUUGAAAUUCAAAUUCAAAUUUAUAUUUUGAAUUUGAAUUUCAAAAUAAAACUUUGAAAUUAAAUAUAAAACUAAUUAAAAAUCUAAAUUCACUACAUGCAAGAUAAUUAAAUUAUGGGGACAUAUGUUUGGAAUAUUUUUAUAUAAGUGCCCUAUUUAUGUCAAAACUUUAAAAAUAAUCUAUUAAUGCCUAAAUAUAAAGCCCAAUCCAUUCUCCGGUAAACUAAGAUUAUCGGACCAAUUUUCAUAUUGUAAUGAAUCGAUUGUAACCUAAUUCUUAUAGUCCAUUAAAAAAUAAAAAAGUGAAUAUUUAAAUGAUUUUACAGUAGUUCUUAAGUUAGAAGACGACCCAAAAUAUGCAAUGGCGGAGUUCGGAGCUGGUAACUAAAGUUAAUUUAAUAUGUUAACUUCAAUUUACCCCGUGAUUAAGUAGAUUUUUUCCCUUUUUCCUCCGAUGCUUCAAAAAUUCGCCGACAGAACCCAACGUCAGUUACCAAAGUGAAUUUUUUUAAAAAACUUAUAGCAUACUAUGCUCUUUAACAAUAAAUUCUUACAAUAAAAUAAAAAUAAAAUUAUAGAAUACUGAAGUAUAACUCUUUAAGCCAUUGAAUGACAAAAAAAAUAUAUAUAUAUAUAUAUUAAACCACAAUGAGAAAAAUUGAAAAUUAUCCUACUUUUUAGUUCAUCAUACUAACUCCAUACCUACAAGCUCAUGUAUUACACCAAAAAUCAAACCAUCAUGUAUUAUAUAUUUUUUUAAUAUAAAAAUCUUUUAAACUCUAUAAAAUUAUAUUACAUUAAAUUAAAUUUUAAUUUAAAAUUUUUGGGAGGAAAAGAUGCAGUUUUCAGUUUCGUUCAUUUUACGAUUUUCUUCUCUUUUUUUCCUUUUUGAAGUAAAACGUAGAGACUUGGUGUAUCCUAAUGUUCAUGCGAUGAAAUCAUUAAUUUCUCUCUUGUCCAUUAAUUUUUUGAGAGAAAGGUACCUGCUUUAUUCAUUAAAGAAAAAAUUAAACUACACGAUUAAGAUAAAGGAAUCUCCGAAGUAGACCGAAAAAAUGAAAAAAAAAAUAAUUAAAUUUACAAAAACAUAUAACAAAAAAAAAUUUAAAAAAAAGGAUAUGCUCGUUUAAACACUCUAUUCUUCUCCCACUGAAGCAUCAAACAUCUGAUCGAUUUGACAGCUAGUAAAGAAUUAGUAUUAGCCAAUCUAUAAAUAACGGUGUUUCUUACUGUUCAGAUAACUCACCAAUUUUUUUUUUUGAAAAAGAUAACUCACCAAUUGACUGUGAGUUUUGUAAAUCUGUUUCUAACAUUCUGAGCACUAUCCCUUCCCAUGCUUCCACUUAUCCCAUACUAACCUCUCUUGUCCUUUGCUGGAUCGGAAAGUUGCAAUCAAGUUUGUCCGUUUCUCUCCCUGUUGGAGAGCAGUCAGAUUUUUUUUUUUUGGUGCACCCGGUGCACUAGUUUUGUUUUAAAAUUUUAUUUUUUGUUUUUUAAUUAUAAUUUAAUAAUAUAUCUCAUGAUUUUAAAAAUAUAUGUAAAAUAAUUUAGAAUUUAGGAUUUAAAAUUCUUUUGCAUAUAUUUUUUAAAUAUCAUAAAAUAUAUAUCUGUUAUAUGAAAUUAAAAUUAAGAUUAAAAUUAAAAUUUUAAAGUAAAAAAUGAUGCACCGGUGCACCGAAAAAAACCCGCUGUGUCCCGAGAGGCAGAGCAGUCGGGACGGUGGCCCGCGUGGCUCGGGUGCCAUGCGGCGCCCAUCCAGUGUCCUCAAAAAAAAAGGAGAAUUAAUGGGUGGAGCCCAACAAGUUGGUACAAAUCGCCAUUAAAUUAAGAUUAAAUAGUUCGGGACCGCUUGCGACACCAUGUCAUGUGGUUAUGAGCUAAUCACAAAAAUAUUUAAGUUUCUCUACUUGUCUCAUAUUUAAAUUUUAUAAUUUUUUUUAUAGGACAUACAAUAACGAAAUAGAUCUGGACCCUGUUAAAGAUAAAAAUAUAUAAACAUUAUUCUCUAAAAGUUUAAGCUUUUAGUAUCGUUUGGUUCGAGGAUAAGCAAAAAGUGACUAUUCCAGGGAUAGGUAUAAAUUGAGGUAUAAGCGGGGAUUAGAUCAAUUUUGCGUUUGGAUGAAAAUUGGAUUAUUUCUGAAAAUAAAUAUAAAUAAUAUGUAUUAAUAUAGUACAAUUAAUAAUUUUAUAAUAAAAAUAAUGUAUUAUAAUAUAUAACAUAUUAUAUUUAUAUAAUUAGUUUUAAUUCAAUUUAUAAUUUUAAUUAAAUUUGAAAUUAAGCAUUAGAAUAGUGCUAUUCCACCAAAAUGGUGGAAUAGCAAAUCCCUUGCUAUUCCGGAAUAACCGGAAAUAGCAAGGUUUGACCGGGAUAAAAUAUCCCGGCCAAAUUUCAUCCCAUUUGGCGGAAUAGCGGGGAUAACUUUUGUUAUCCCCGCUUAUCCCCCAACCAAACGGGGCCUUAAGGAAUUCACAUUGUGAUUGUUUGAUUGAUGGAUGGCCAUUACAUUGAAAUUGGUCUAUGCACUCUGUUUGGUUAAAACUAUUUGAGUAGUUCUCAUCAAGAAUCCCUACACAUUUUUUUUAUUAUAUUCAUUUCCUACUUUUAUUCUAUCUCUCCACACACACACACACACACACACACACACACACACCCCCUUCCCACCACCCCCUCCAAAUUUGGCUGAUAUUAAUGAAAAGGAAUUAUAACUAGUUGAGAGGAGAUUUUCGGCACUUUAGAAAAUAAGUGUGUAUGUUUGCUCUACCGUGUUAAUUUACUGAAAUUACUGUCAUUGUACAGGGUUAUGUGUAAUUCCAGUUGUAAGAACCUUUAGAACACAUCAACUUGUGUCAUACGUUGUUACGCCUUUUUGACAAAACGUAGGAAUAUUAUUUGAGUAGAGGUAUUUGAAGAAGUUGCAAGAUGUGUUUGUUUAGAGUAUUGUAGUUCCAUGGAUAGGAAAUAAGGAUAGUUUAUCCACUAUAAGAGGGCAAAGGGAAUUAUCUAGGCUAAUGGUUCCUUAUGAGAGUAGCAUAACUCCAUUCUAGCGUACAGUUUGAUAUCUCCUACUUAGUUCUAGUUGGGAAUUUAUCAAACUCAAAAGUACUUAACAGGAUAGCAGGGAUAUUGCCAUUAUCUUUCCAACUUGCAAAUGCUGAAUGUAAAUAUACUUGGCAUGGAGUUGAACAAAAAAACUUUUAAGUUAGACCAGCUUUUUAGGGAGCUCUUUUAGUCUUCGCACUAUGCUAGGAGCUCUAGAUUUUUUUUCUGUUUGCUAAACGUCUGACUUUUGCUUCUUGAGUAGAAUAACUUUUUUAGAAGUCAAACCAAUUAGGUAGUAUAUACUUUUGCAUAUGCUAACAAAAGUAUGUAUUCGAAAAAUAUUUGCUGAGCUAACCUGUGACAUUAGGAUGCUAGCACAAGUAUCACUGCUGUAUAUGCUGNCUAAUUCCUACUUAAUUACCAUUAGAAAAUAAAGAAGUGUACCUUAAUUUAUAUGAUUUUACUCCAACCACUUUUCAUCUACUAGCAUGCUCCAGUUCCCAAAUGUGUCCUGAAUUAGAAGACAAUCCAAAAUAUGAAGAGCCCGAGUUCGUUUCUUCAAAAAAUUUUCGGAAUUUUUGUAGAUUUAUUUGCGAAUUUUUCGGACAAAAAAAAUGGCUUAAUCUAAUUUAUUCUUUUUAUUUUUUUGGAAAAAUACGUAAACAGCCGAUUAAUUCGUUUCUUCAAAAAUUCGCGAAUUAUUCGCGAAUUUACUAUCUAAGCCUAUCGCUCUCAAAAACAAAAGAAAAAAAAAGAAUUUUUAUCAGAGCAUGUGUUGCACAACGGGCGGAGGAGUGAUAAGAAAAAUCUCAUAAAUUAUUAAUACUGAUAGUUACAAAUAUCUUUAUUAAAUUAUUAUAAAUAUUACAAAUAUCUUUAUUAAAGCGAUUAGUCUCUAUCCAAAAUAAUCGUGAUAGUUACAAAAUACUUAUUUUAUUAUUGCCUAUUAUAUAUCAUUUGUGUCGCUUAAAUAUUCUAUAGCUGAUAUUCAAAAUUUUUCAAAAAUGCCCUCUAGAUAUUUUAUCAAUAAUUUUCAUCAUCACGCAUACAUCACAUAAAUAAUUUAAAUUUUAAAAUUUAAAAUUAAAAGUAAAAAUUUAAAUUUAAAUUUAAAAUUUGAUAAAGAUCUGAAUUCAAAUUUUAAAUUGAAUUCAAAUUUUGAACUUAAAAUUGCAAGUCAAUUUUAAAUAUAAAUUUAAAUUUGAAAUUCAAAUUCAAAUUUAUAUUUUGAAUUUGAAUUUCAAAAUAAAACUUUGAAAUUAAAAAUAAAACUAAUUCAAAAUCUAGAUUGAAAGUAAAAUUAGUAUAAAAUCUUAAUUCGAUUUCAAUUGAAUUUGAAUUAUAUUCGAAUCCAAAAUCAAAAUUUAAAUUUUAAAUUUAUAAUUAAAAUUAGAUUAAAUUAAUAUUACAAUUCAAUAUUAUAAUGUAAAUUUGAGUGAGUCUAAGAUCGCAGUUUAAAUUGAAAAUUGAAUUAAAAAAUUCUAAUUAUAAAUUUUGGAAAUAUUUAGAGAUAAAAUGAUAUUUUAAAAUUUAAGUAGCAUUAAACUAGCUUCCAACUAAGAUUAGGAUAACACUCCGUGACGUGAGUUUACAUAAGAAAUAUUUAUGAUAUAACUCAUUCUAUUGGAAGAGCGUAUAUGAUAUUUUAAUAUUUUUAGAGGUGCCUGUGAUAGUUUAAGAUUUUGAAAAAUAGUUAUGAAACUGUCCCUGCAUUUCAAAAUUUGGAAAACUGAUCUCCCUGACUUGCGGAUUUCAUGUAGUACAAUUUUUUGACGGUGUUCUUAAUGCAAGUAACAAAUUAUAAGCAACUUUAAAGGAAAAAAAGUUACAUAUUUUUAGGGAUCGUAUUUUGGAAAUUUGAGGAUGAGUUUUUAGUUGUCCAGGUUUCACGCUUUGAUAAAUAAUAUGAUCAGAAGAAUCAUAAAUGGCGAUAGCUUACGUUUACCUACUUUUAUUAGAUAUAUAGUUUAAUAUAUUCUUUUUCCGCAUAAAAUUACUAAUUAAAUAAAACCAAUUGAUGCUCAAACUCUCUCUUCCUAUGGAAUAAAAAUAAAACAUAAAAAAGGAUAAAUUACGCUUUUGGUCCUCAAACUAUAAGAUAUAUGACACUUUAGUCUUCAAACUUUAAUGUGUUAUAAUAACUUAUGGCUCAAAGUAUGAGACACGUGACACUUUAGUCCUUAAAUUUUAAUUAGUUGUAAUUUCUGACUUACACUAAAGUUAAUUAAUUUAUUUAUUUCUACGAAAUCGAUCGGUUUUGUUCAAUCAGUAAUUUUAUUCGAUGUUAAACUAUAUAACAAAUUUUAUAAUGUCUAAUUGUUAAAAUUAAAAAUCGACCAAUCAUAUUUUAAAUAUUAAAAAAAUUAUAGAUGCAAAAUUGAUCUUUGAUCGGAUUGUAAUAUAAUAUUAAACUUUUAUAAUAAAAUCGUAUAAAAUUUGUCUAAACUAUAAACCAUUCUGAAUCAUCUAUUCAACCUUUUAAAAUUUUAUUCUUAUUAUCGAACUAUUCGAUACGUUAGAUUUUAAAAUUUAUAUAUAAAAGGUUUAUAUAUUUUAAAUUUUAUAAUAAAAGCCCGCCACGCCUCUCUCCCCCGGCCCCGCCCCAGCGUCUGCGACGUGGCUCAUAAGAGACAAUUGAAAUUAUUUCGGGGACCAUCCGAGUUAUUUUGCAGCCAAGGUUGGACGUGGAUUAAUGCGGCGAUAACUCAAAUUACCAUUACCAUACUAUAAAUCCGAGCAAGAAAUGUAUGGAACCCCCUGAACUAUAUGCCACUAUGAAAUAGCGCCUUCAAUCUACUUUUGUUUUUUCCCAUUUCGUGUUGAGUGAUUUUGGUGACUCACAGUAAUUAUGAUAAUUUUAUCAUAUUUAAUUUAUUUAGUUUACAUACUACGUACAAUUGGCAGUUUGUGCAACAAUUAAUCUAUUCAGCUUAUUUUAUUCAGCUUGUUUUAUUAUACUAUAUAUGUUGAGUAUCACAACGAUGAUCUUCUAGCUUAUUUUCACGAAACUUUGCAUCGGAAUUUAAUAAUCGUUUUAAAUAUUUUUUAACUUCUUAGAUUACGGUGGUAUUAAAGUGCAUUACCAUAUAUUUUUUUUUUGAGAAAAAAAUUUUAUNCAUUCCGUGCGUCUGUGCUAGCAGUUCUUGGCAUGACUCCAUGCCACUCCAUAAAUCCUUGCUUUUGUUGUUUACAAGGCUAAACUUCAAAAUCGGCACUGUGGUAUAGUGCAUUUUCGCGUUGGUGCACUAUGGAUUCUUUUCUAUCACAUAGGUGCCCUGAGUUUGGUAUUGAAAUUAUUCCUCAAGGACCUUUUUUCUAGCCCUGUUGGUAUUUGUGUGUGUUUCCAGUUCAAAUCGUUGUUGGCUCGGUUUUUUUAAGUCUAAACUCAACCGAGAACCCGAAUGCAAGCCCAUCUUAUAAGGGGUUUCUGAUUAAGUUUGAAUCAGAACACGACCUAAGCCCUGACCUAACACGACCCAACCUGUUUAUAUAUAUAUAUAUAUAUAUAUAUAUAUAUAUAUAUAUAUAUAUAUAUAUUCCAGUCAAUCUAUUUCUAGCAUACUGAGCACUAAUCCCUUCCGAUGCAUCCACUUAUCCCAUGCCAACCUUUCUUGUCCUUUGUUGGAUCGGAGAGUUGCAAUCAAGAGUGGGACAACUUUUCACUCCGUCCGCAAGAGUUGUUGUCGCUGCGCUUGCACCUCAUUUAUUGUUGUUGUAUGAUUGAAAUUAUUUAGGGCAUGUGUGGCACAACAUGAAUAAGAAUAAGAGUUUAUGCACAUAAAUUUAUAUAUAUAUAUAUAUAUAUAUAGAGUCCGGCUACUAUACUCUUAUGAGUAUGAUUGUCCUCGUACUUAUAAGUUGUUUUCGAUGAUAGAGCUUCCGAAUCGACGAUCCAUACUGUUAAAUAUUAUUUAGAGCAUUUAAAACGUAUAGAAAUUAAAUUUUAUAAUUUUUCGAUAUCAUUUACCUUACAAUCAAAAGGUCACAAAAUUGACAAUUUUUAACGGCCGGUAUGAAAUAUUUGUUAGUUAAACAGUAUAAAAGAAUCAAAAUAAGUUGAUUUUUUGAUAGAAAAUUCUAUUCAGUAUAUAGAUAAAGAUCAAUAGCUCCGAUCUUAAAUUGAAGGAUCCGAUCAUAAAUUUUUAAGACGUCGUUCGAUUUUGACAAUUCAUUUUAUACCCGCUUGAUGAACUUUAUUAUGAUUUCAAAAAAUUACGAAAUUUAUUUUCUAGAAAUUUUAAUAAACUAUAUUUAACGGAAUGGAUCGUCGAUUUGGAAGCUACAUCAUUGAAAACAACUUAUGAGUAUGUACGAAGUGUUCUAUACUCAUAAGAGUAUAGUAGCCCUAACAUAUAUAUAUAUAUAUAUAUAUAUAUAUAUAUAUAUAUAUAUAUAUAUAUAUAUAUAAAACUAGGCUGGUAUACUAUCGGUAGCACGGAGGCUGAUAUAUAUAUAUAUAAAAUAGAGCUUCUACAUUUUUAAAAGUACCAAGUUAUUGGUACUUAUAUAUUUUUUGCCAUUGAAAUAAGAGAUAUACGGUUAGAAUGAUGUGGGACCAUUAAAAUUGAGUGGUGGUUGGUUCGGAUGAAAAUAAUCAAAUGUAUAGAUCUAAUAGUAAAAAAUUUACAAGUAUCAAGUGUUUGAUACUUUUAAUGUACCAUAUAUGCAGAUUUCUGAGACGGUAAAAAUUUUGCUUUUGUCUAAAUAAAUGAAAGAUGGAAUGGUUAAUUUGAUUUGAAAUUUUGUUUUUCUCCCGUUCAACUCGUUACGUUCUACUGGUUACAUUCUAUAUAUUUGUAGUGGCGUUGAACCACACCGUACAUGUGAGUAAUUAAGAUACAACCUUAUUUUCUAUAGAUAUCUGAGAUUUGGGUAAAUAGCUCUACAUGUCUCUAAACUUAAAUUAGUUUUUAAACUUGUAAAUUUGGUAUAUAUUUAAGACCGGACUGUUUGAAUUAUAUCAUUCUAGUCCUUAUUCUGAAUAAAAAAAAACAAAAAGCGGUAAACUAUAGUAAAACCUUCCAGUACUGCAUGUAUCAGUUAACACCCUCAAUUUAAUUUUAAAUAUGUUGAAUGGGGAAAUUAAUUGCACUACUAAUUAAUUUCCAAACUUCUAUUUUAGUCCUCAAUUUUUAAGUUUCACAAUAUUUGGGACUCAUUGAAUGUUUCAUUCUAGCACUUAGUUAAAAAACUAAAAAAUAAAAAAAUAUAAGAGAGAAAGAGAAAAGCUAAAUUUGUAGAAAACCUCGCCCCUUUCAUAUGUUAGAUUUUAUACUUUAUUUUCUUCAAAUUAUCAGGCCAAAUCAUUCUGUACCGACUAAGAUUUGAUAUUAGAACCACUCACCCAAUCAUAAAAUAAGAAGCGAAAAAAGCUCUAUUAUCGUGUUAAAGAACUAGAAUAUAAUCUAAAAACUCAAACGGAGUGGUAAAAAUAACCUUCACAUUAUGUAUACUAUUUUAUUUUUAUCUAAAAAGAAUCUAAACACAAGUACUCUAAUAAUAUAAUUUUGUAUUUUGUAUUUCAAUUAUAUGCACUUUCUCUAUAUAUUGACCCUCACAUUACCCCAUAGAUAUUCAAAACAAAUAAAUCUACAAAAAUAUUAUUUUUGAGACAUUUUCCUAUCAUAAUGUUGUACUAGUGUAGAGACCCGCGCGAUACAGCGGGUAGAUAAUAGAAUCAAAACUUAAAAAUUUUAAUAAAAUUUAUAUUUAUAGUUUAUUAAAUUCAACUAUUAAAAAAAUAAAAUUAUAGCUUAUAACCCACACAUUGAUAAAAUAUUAAUAUGAUGCAUGUAAUUAAAUGUUGCACUUUACAUGUAAUUAGAGAAGUGGAGAGGUGAAGAGUUGGACGUUGAGAAGAGAAAAUAAUUUGAUUUAAAAUUGGGCUAUGAGAAUAAAGAAUAACAUAUGGCAAAAAAAAAAUUUUUAUGGUACAUGCAAAAGAGUUACAAAAAAGAGGGCUGAGAGAUUAAUGGAGAAGAGAAGUUGAUUAAAGUUAUAAAUCUCACUCGAUGAUAGAAUAUUAAUAUGGUGCAUAUAAUUAAAUCUUGUUACUUACAUGUAAUUAGAGGAGUGGAAAGGUAAAGAAUUGGGCGUUGAGAAAAGGAGAAGAUGAUUUAAUUUAAAGUUGAGUUAUGAAAACGAAAGCUAACAUGCCACGUGGCAAAAAAAAAUACAAAACUGUAACUUCAUAAAGAUUUAUUUAUAGAUUUAUAGAUGUGCACGUGCGUGACUUUUCAAAUUGUGUUGGACCAUCCCAAUUAUUUUGCAAACAACGUAUUCAAUGCGGUGACAACUCAAAUUUAAUUAUUGGAGCAAGAAAAUGUAUGGAAACCCCUAAACUAUAAGCGACUUUGAAAUAGCUCCUUUAAUCUGGUUUAAUUCUAUCGACUGUUUCUAGAGCAAAUGGUCGGUAUCCGAGACUCAAGUUCGAAUUCUAGUUGAUUCACAUUUCUAGCUAAGUUUAUUUCAAAAUGAAAUAAACGAAGCGGGUAACAUGCUAUCUUUCUCUCAAAAAAAAAAAAAAAAAUCUGGUUUAAUUCUCCCUCGCUGCCAUAUUUUAUAUUAGCUUAUGGUGUUGAGUCAAUGCUUUGAGGUGUCGCUAAUAUGUUUGUAUUCUCUCUUAAAUACGUAAUUAAUGCAAGAGAUAAACUACACCCCACUCAAGUUUUUUUUUUCCAUUCUAAUUAGCUGUCAAAGAUUAAUUAAAUAUAUGGACAGUUGAAAGAAACAUUUCUCUGCUUUUCUAUUUUUUCUAAAUCUCUUACAUUUUCUCUUAUAGAUAUACGCAUGUUACGAUAGUCUUUAUAGUUCCAGUUCUAUCACUGUAACAAAAUAUAUUUUAAAUAAUAUUUUUUAGACAACGCUCUAUUAUAAUAUCUUCAAUAUUUGGUAUAUAUCAACAGUAUGACUAAAUAUUGUUAAUAAAUAUAUUUUUAUUAAAAUACUGAUAAAUUUUUCGACGCUAUAUUAAAGCGUCUGUAUAUAUAUCCCAACAUAUUUACUUAACGACUCUUUAUUCGAUAUUUUUACAGGUGUCGAGAUUAUUCUUACUGAUGCUUUAAAAACGAUCUCGAAUUUUUGUAAGUAGUAUUUCGUGAUGGACUAUUGAUGCAUAUAAAAAAAAAUUAUGUGGUUUGAUACUUUAGUUUAAAUCUAUAGAUGAAGAUGGAGCGAAAAUUUUAUUAUAGCCAAAAGUGCAGAAGAUAAGAUUUAUGCCCAUUGUUCACCCUUAUCUUGACCACAUGUUGCGGUCUAGGUUCUGGGGUGAAGAAGAUCUGCAUUAUUGCGCUUAUGUAUGUACUAUUUUCUUGACAAUUUGGGCAAUAGAAUUAAGCUCGUAUGUUUUUAAUAGUGUAAGUUAUUGAUGUUUGUAAAUUUUCGAUCUUUGAGUUAAGGGAUGUGCGGUUUGAAUGAAAAUAAUCUUCUUAGGUUGAUUGGAUAGUUGGUUGAAUAGUAUAUAUGCUCUAACGAGUAAAAAUAGUUAAAAGGAUAAAUCUAACGGCAGAAAACUUAUAAGCACUAAGUACUUGCUACUUUUGAAAACAUCAUAGUCGGACUCUCGAGCAAUAUUAGUUUUUAUAAACCGAUGAAAAAUAGAUUUAAGUAAUUGAUACCGUAAAUUUGAAAUUGUAGAUGUCGUGUAGCUUUUCCAGUUUAUAUAGUUUGCUCAGUAUAUAUUUAUCGUUUAGUUUAUGAAUUCCAUUUUUGUCUACUUCAAUAUCAAUCGAUUAUCAUAUUAUUCAUAAAUAAAAAUGGUGAAUAAAAAAGUGAAAUUGUAUCGUGCAAUUUGUGAAUAUAUAUUUUUAAUUUACCUUCUUUAAAUUAGUAUAAUUAUUUUAUUUAAUAUUUGUACAAUUUAAUUACUUUCAAUUAAAUAUAUUUUGUUUGCUAUGCAUUAAUUUUACUGCUUUAUGAAAUUUUAAAGGUAAAAAUAUAUGGUUUAAUAAAAAAGGAUUGAUGAUUUGCAAUGGGCAAGGUAGAAAUAAUUUUAAAAGAGUUGUCACUAAUCUUAAUAUUUUGAAUAAUUUUUUUAAAAUUAGGUAAAUAUAUUUUUUUGGCAUUAUUAUUUUAGAAACGCUUCUAUGUAUAUUAUGUGACUGAGGAUCAGAAGGAAAAAUUUUAGAAUGCAACUGGUAUAUUGGUGACGUGGCGUAACAAACUAAUCAAAUAUCUGGUAUAUUGGUGACGUGGCGUAACAAACUAAUCAAAUAUCUCCUUUUAGAAGUAUAUAUGUUCCAUCAUGAUUGUAAAAAAAUAUCGAUUAGAAGAGGGUACGUAGUUUCGGGACCACCUCCAUAUUGGUUAUAAGAUUGGAAUUAUUGGCACAUGCACGUGUUACGUGUACGUAGCUCGAUCGGAAUAUAUAUAUAUAUAUAUAGAACAAUAAUACAUAAUUAGCAGUAUGGCACUAUUAGGUAAUAAAUAAUAUGAAGUAACGACGAAAUUAAGCGUGCUUAUAUGGAUAUGCUUCAGCAUUAAUUUUUCAAAUGGGACCGCAAAUUAUGAUGCAUGUAUUAUCUGCUUCAAACCUCUUCAUCAUCAAAUCAUCUGCUUCGCCGAGAGAAGCCAACGACGAAGCCCACAUCACAGAAAGAAACAAAAAAAGAAACAAUACUUGGUACUUGGAAGCCAUAGCUCACACUUACGACUAGUUUUGUUGCUGAGAGUAAGGUUCUCCGCAUCGAGUUUAUGUACAAGUUCUCGACCUACUAAUUAAAGUUGCUGGACCAUUAAUGGACGUGAGAGGUCAAUUAUUCGGGGCUAUUAUUAUUAUUAUUAUUAUACGAUAUCAUUAUUGGCGGCAAUUUGCACCGCUGGUCACUGAGCCCUAAUAGCUACAUUUGGUUUGGGAACAAAUUUUGAGUAAUAAUUCGUUUAUCGUUCCACCAACAAACGAUAUUUGGGAAUUAUCUAGAAUAAGCACUAAAUUACAUUUGGAUGCUGUUUAUUGAGUUGAGUUGAAAUGCUAUUAAUAGUCUUUAAAUUUUUUUACUAUCGAUUUUUUAAUUCUUAGAUUUAUAUUUUAAUUAAUUUCUUAUUUAGGUCAUGCUAUUGAAUUUUAUAGGGAUAUAUUUAUAAUUAGUUAUGUUUACAAAAAACUAUACGUAAUUAACCCUAAAUUUAAUUAAAUUUUAAUUUUAAAAUUUUUUUAGAGGAAAAGACACAGUUUUCAGUUUCGUUCAUUUUGUGGUUUUUGUUUUUUUUUAUUUUUAAAGUAAAAUCUUAUUAUGUAGAGAGUUGGUGCUAAUGUGCAUGUGAUGAAAUUUCAUUAAUUGAUUUCUCUCUUCCGUUGUUCGAUCGGAAUGCCGCAAUCAUGAGAGGGACAGCAUUCCAGUGCUCCAUACGCCAGAGUUAUUGUGGCUGAGCUUGCACCUCUAUGUGGGACAAAAAUUUUGCGGGCACCAUCCCUAAAUUAAUAAUUUGGGGACCGUGCAAAUGGGUGUCACGUGAUUGGUUCGACGGAUGCCAAUUUUUACUAUUUUUUAUCUCUCUUUAGAAAAAUAGUAUAAUUUUUUUUUUUUUUUUCAUUGAUGGCAGUCGGAUGGACCACGUGACGCCCAUCCGCAUGGUCCCUCUAUGUGUUGUCCUUGUAUGAUUGAUGAUUGAUAGUACAACAUGUCUGGCACAACAGAAUAAGAAUAAGAGCCGCACGUAAAUUUAAAAUGAUAUAUGUAAAUUAACAAAUAUUAUUAUUGUUUAGAAUAGGUGUUUCUUUUUUUUAAGAGGGAACUCACCAAAAAUAGAAAAUUUUCUAGAUAAUGGCCGUUCCCUGAUACGUCAAUGUAUUGAAGGUGUUUUCGAUAAUAAAAUUGAGAUCUAGUAAAGUACAUUUACUGAAUAUAUAUGAGCGACGAUUUGUGAUAAUUUAUCUCUUCCUUCAAAAUCGUGUAGAAAUUAGAUAGAUUUUCUUUUAAUCGAACCGCUUCCGUAUUGAUCUAUAUAUAUAUAAUGUGAUUUGAAUACUCAUAAAAGGGGAUGGUGUACCAUUGCCCACUUUUAACAUGCACAAGACAUAGACUAUAAGUAAAAUUUACUUUUGUCUAAAUAAACGAAAGAUGAAAUAAUUAAUUUGAUUUGAUUUGAAAUUUAUAGUGGUGUUGGACCACAACAUACAUCUGAGUAAUUUAGAUACGACCUUAUUUUCUGUAGAUAUAUGAGAUUCGGUUAAAUUGCACUACAUGUCUCUGAACUUAAAUUUAAUUUUCAAAAAUUUGAUAUAUAUUUAAGACCGGACUUUUUGAAUUAUAUCAUUCUAGUCCUUAUUCUGAAUAAAAAAUGGGGUUAAAUUAUAGUCAAACUUUUCCCUGCAUGUGUCAGUUUACACCCUCAAUUUUUAAAUAUGUUGAAUGGGUAAAUUGCACUACUACUUCCCAAACUUCUAUUUUAGUCGUCAAUUUUUAAGUUUCGCAAUAUUUAGGACUCGUUGAAUGUAUCAUUCUAGCCCUUAGUUCAAAAAAAUAAAAAAUAAAAAAUAAAAAACUAUCGGAGAGAAAGAGAAAAGCUAAAUUUGUAGAAAACCUCCAUACAAAAGUUGUAUUUUACACUUUAUUUUCUUCAAUAUUUAAACUAUCAGGCAAAAUUAUUAUAUACCGACUAAGAUUUUAUAUUACAAUCACUCGCCCAAUCAUAUAUUAAGAAGCGGAAAAAGAUCUAAUAUGGUGUUAAUUAAAGAACUUGAAUCUUAUCCAAAAUAAGCGGUAAAGAUAGAUAACCUUCACAUUAGGUGUACUAUUUUAUUUUUAUCUAGUAAGAAACUAUACACAAGUACUCUAAUAAUAUAAUGUCUUUUCUAUUUCAAUUAUAUGUACUUUCCAUAUUGAACCUCACAUUACUUCAUAAAUAUUCAAAACAAAUAAAUCUAAAAAAAAAUUUCUCAAAAAACAAUAUAAAAAAAUAUUAUUAUUGAGAUAUUUUCGUAUCAUAAAGUUGCAUGUGAAUGUGCAGGACUUUUCAAAUUGUCUCGGGGGCCAUCCCAAUUAUUUUGCUGCCAACGUAUUCAAUGCGGUGACAACCGACAUUUAAUUAUUGGAGCAAAAAAAUGUAAGGAAACCCCUAAACUAUAAGCCUCUUUGAAAUAGCUCCUUCAAUCUAGUUUUUCUCUCAUUGCCCUCUUUUAUAUUAGUUUAGAGUGUGUUUGGUUCCACCUAAAAUUAUUUCAAUUUUUUUUUGGCAGUUGAAAAGUAAAUUCUCGAUGUUUGAUUGUUUGCAAAAAAAAUUUCUCAAUUUUUUUUUUUUACAGAUUCAAUAGAACUGGAGGAUUUUGUUCUCUGCUUGUUUCGAGAGGAAAACGAAAACUUCAGCCGCGAAAAUACGUGGCGUUUCGGAAAGGCGGGGAUGUGUAUCACGUGGUCCAAAAGGUGACCUCCACCUCGUGGACUGCAUGAGAGUCUCUCCCCCUUUUCUUAUAUAUAUAUAGAGUCCGGCAGCUAUACUCUAAUUAUGAGAACGAUCGCCCUCCUACUCAUAAGUCGUUUUCGAUAAUAGAGUUUCCGAAUCGACAAUCCAUACCGUUAAACAUUAUCUACAGUAUUUAAAACUUCUAGAAAUCAAAUUCUAUAGUAGGUCUUGUGUGCUUUUAGAAGUACAAGGCCUUCAUACUGCUAAACCGUUUUCGAUGAUAGAGAUUCUAAAUUAACGAUCGAUUCCGUUAGACUUGAUUUAGCAUAUUUGAAAUAUCUAAAAAAUAAAUUUUACGAUUUUUCGAUAUCAUUUAUCUAACGAUCAAAAGAGUUCAAAAUCAACGGUUGAAAAUAAAAAUCUCACAAAAAGCGGUGAUAUGGACACUAAAAUUUUUGAUUAGAGAUAUUGAUCUUGCUAUAAAUAGUAUAAAUAAUUUUUUAUAAAAAUUUUAUCUGAUUUGAAUAAUUAUACACGGUUAAAUUUGCAAACAGUAUAUAUAUAUCAACAAUUAACAAUUAUUAAUUUUGAUCCCUUUCGAUCAUUAAGUAAAUGAUAUUAAAAAAUCACAAAAUUUAUUUUCUAAAUAUUUUAAAUACGCUAGAUCAAGUUUAACGGAGCUGAUCGUUAAUUCAAAAGCUCCAUCAUCAAAAAUAGUUUAGAAGCACAGAGGCUCGAUCCGUGCUUCUAAUAGCGUAGUUGAAAUAUUCAAAAACUCCAUCAUCAAUGAUCGGUGCGAAUUAAGGAAGAAAAAAUUCAACUUAUCUUACAAAAUUAUUUUGGGAAAUCCUCGCUGCACAAUUAGGCGAAUCCUAUGCCCAAAUGAACAUCAAGAGAUUGAUAAAAAAAAGGGAGAGCAAAGAAAUGGGUUUAAAAAAACACAAGGAGGGCCCCAAUCCACCUCUCCUCCACCCAAAUAAAUGUACGCGGUACCGCCACGUUGGAUUAAACUGUGAUUUUAUAAAUUUUUAUUAUAGAAGAUGUUAUCAACAAAAAAUUUUAAUUCUUAUAUUUUUUUAUAUAUAAAGUGAAAAUUUUUAUUUUAGUUUAUUUUAAUAUCUUUUCUGUGAAACAAUCGUUGUACUCUAAAAACUUAAAUUGUUAGAGAACGAUGUUUAAACAUUUUUUAUAUUUAACACUCCCCCUCACGUCUGGGCUUGAGACUUUUUAGUCGGCCCAUGACGUGAGCUUGAAUUAAAUGGGAGGAAAUUAAUAUGUUAGGAGUCUGGCGUGACUCCAACUCAAGACCUCCUGCUCUGAUUUAGAUGUGAAACAACUGUUGUACUCUAAAAGCUUAAACUGUUAGAGAACGGUGCUUAAACAUUUUUCAUAUUUAACACUCCCCCUCACGUCUGGGCUCGAGACUUUUUAGUCGGCCCAUGACGUGGGCUUGAAUUAAAUGGGAGUAAAUUAAUAUGCUAGGAGCCUGGCGUGACUCGAACUCAGGACCUCCUGCUCUGAUACCAUGUGAAACAUCCGUUGUACCCUAAAAGCUUAAGCUGUUAGAGAACGGUGUUUAAACAUUUUUUAUAUUUAACAUUUUCCUGCAUUUGAUUCAAAAUUUAUUACAAACUAAUAGGUUGAUGAUGUCUUCUGUUUUUAUUUAAUAUCUAAAUUUGAGGGCAGUGAGUACCCCAAUUUAAUUUUUUUAAUUCAAUAUCAUUUGAUUAUCAAAUUAUUCAUAAAUAAAAAUGGUGAAUAAAAAGUGAAAUUGUAUCGUACAAUUUGUGAAUAUAUAUUUUUAGUUUACCUUGUUUAAAUUAGUAUGAUUGUUUUAUUUAAUAUUUGUACAAUUUAAUUACGUUCAAUUAACUAUAUUUUGUUUGCUAUGCAUUUUACUGCAUUUAUGAAAUUUUAAAGGUAAAAAUUUAUAGUUUAAUCAAAAAGUAUUGAUGAUUGGCAUUGGGCAACGUAGAAAUUUUGAAAGAGUUGUCACUAAUCUUAAUAUUUUGAAUAAUUUUUUUUCAAAUUAGCUAAAUAUUUUUGGCAUUAUUAUUUUAGAAAAGCUUCUAUGUAUAUAAUGUGACAAAGGAUUAGAAGAGGGUACGUAGAUAUGAUGUUAUUCCUAGGUAAUACACUAAUUACCUUAACUCUUUGAAUGGUUCAUAAGGCGGAAACAUUUUGAUAAUUAAUAUAAAGGGUACAACUCGAUCUUUCUUUCUUUUUUUUUCUUUUUUUUCUUUUUUUUUUUUUGAGAAAAGGUAGUGAAGCUACCUGCUUCAUUCAUUAGGCUAAAUAAACUAAGCAUAUAUGAUUGAGGCAACUAAGGCCUCCGGAAGGGUCUUGAAGAAAAACAAAAUAAAUGGAAAAAAAAGGAAAAAAAAGAAAAAAGACAAAAAAGUAGACAACAGUGAAUAAACCUUACUAAAAACGGUCGUCCCAAUAAGGUACCAAAACAGGGUGCGCGGUCGAGUCAAAGUGCGUCAGCCCAGUCUUUGAUCAAGUAAGUGACACGUUCGAUGGCCCGGGCAGCGUUAGAACGUGUAUCGCGAAAAAUAAUAUUAUUACGUUCCGUCCAUACCACCAACCAGAUUGCCUCUAGAUGAGCCCGGCUUUGACUCGAUCAUUACUAGGCUUUGACUCGAUCAUUACUCCGGUACAUUCUAGUUUUGUAUACUCCAGCUCCGAGGAGAACACAACGCUCGUUUCCGAGAUGCAGAACAAAUUAAACAGAUGCUGUAGCAUCAUGUCACGUUUCAAAUUGUUUCGUGACCACCUCAAUAUAUGUUCACUUUUUUGUACACAUGGUUACUGCAGAUUGAACCAGCACGUGACCGAUACGUACGUUUAGUCCCCAUUAAGAUUGGAAUUAUUGGCACAUGCACGUGUUAGGUGUACGUAGCUCGAUCGGAAUAUAGAACAAUAAUACAUAAUUAGUAUGGCACUAUUAGGUAAUAAAUAACAUGAAGUAACGACGAAAGCAAGCUUAUAUGGAUAUGUUUCAGCACUUUUCAAAUGGGAUGGCAAAUUAUGAUGUACGAAAUAUAUUAUUACAUACAAAAAUAAAUAAAAUAUUUAUUUAUCAUAUUUUUUCUUUACAGGUGGCACAAUCUUUCAAUAAUUUCAAACAAAGCGUUAGUGUAUUAGAAUUUUAAUUCUUGAAUGAGAAAUUGUUGGAUUAAAAUGAUAUUAGUAUCUUAGAGUUGAGUGAUUCCUCUAAAGUUGAGUGGUUCCUACUGAAUUAUAAUAUUUAAUUCAAUAAUUUAAAAUAAUAAAAAGAAUUGAUCCAAAAAACCUAUAGCAAAAAUGGCCUUUUGGUAUCAAUAGUAUUCUAUCCCAUCUCUCUCUCUCUCUCUCUCUCUCUUUCUCUCUCUCUCUCUAUAUAUAUAUAUAUAUAUAUAUAUGAAUCAGGCUGGGAUACUAUCAAUAGGACCAAGCGUUUAGUGCUAUCAAGUUUUUCACUGUUAGAUUUAACUCUUUGACUAUUUUUAUCUGUUAGAUUAUACUAUUAAACCGAUAACUUAUUCAACCCUAGGAGGCCCACAUUAUUUUAACCGUAUAUUUUUUCAUCCAAGGACCGAAAAUCUAAUAGCACCAAUAGUUUGGUGCUAUUGAUAAUAUUCCAGCCUAGUUCUAUAUGCACACACAGGUCUUGUGUGCUAUUAGGAGCACAGAAGUCUUCGUGCUCCUAAGUCAUUUUUUAUGAUGAAGUUUUUGAAUCGACGAUCGAUUCCAUUAGACUUGAUUUAUCUAUUUAAAAUAUUUAGAAAAUAAAUUUUAAAGAAAGCGCUAGUGGAUUAGCAUUUAGCGAGUUAGAUUUCAAUUUCUUACCUCACAUGUAGUGUGUGGGCUUAGAUUUCAACUUCUUACCUCACAUCUAGUGUGUGGGCAUGUACGUAAUUGCACCGCACAGAGCAAUAUAGAUGCACAAUUCUAUUAACUGCUACAGGCUUUACAUACCAUUACUUGAUGAUCUUAUUCGGAUAAAAAUUUGCUAGGCAUCAUCCCCAAAUUAUAAGUUGGGGGACGAUGCGGAUGUGUGCCGCAUCGCCCUUCCGACACGCGCCCAUGGAAGGAAAAAAAAAAAAUGGCGCCCUGUGUUUAUAUAGAGAGAGAGAGUGAGAGAGAGAGAGAGAGCAGAGGGAGGGAGGAGAGUGAUCGUCGGAUGGGUCAGGCGGCGCCCAUCUGUAUCAUCUAGUUUGGAGACCAUGCCCAGCAACUUUUUGUCCAACUUACUCAUCAAAACAGCAUAAACUUACAAAAUUAAAUACAAACAGUUGGCUACUAAAUAUAUAUUAGGCAGCCAGUGGAACUGAUAAUAAUGCAACAAAAAUACAAAUGAAAACAGCAAGCCCUACUCGAUCAUACAGAUAAUCUUCGCACGAGCAUCGCCCGAUUUAUUACAUAGCUUAUAAGGUACGUAGCACACAGGGCACUUCAUUGCAUGCUAAAUCGCAGCUUCGAUAACCCUUACAUGGAGCUGACACGAUCAUCCGAACCCAUGUCAGAGGGUUCUGUAAUGCGCGGUGACGAAACAAGAGUCGGGUAAAUACCAUAGCUAGCCAGACCACAUAAUCCAGGAUAUGCCGUGUCUCUUAACAUCCUCACGUAUCCAUUUUCUCCCCACCUGUUGCCCCAUGAAUUCUUUAUUAUCCAAUACUUGUCUCCGGUGCUGCUGUCCUGCCCGUAACCUACGACGGUAACGGCAUGGAAAAUAUUUGUCCCACAAGGUCCUUUAAAGAUACCGCCAUUGUAGUAAUUGAAGUAAUAAGAGCUAGCAUCAAUAGCAAUAACUGUCGGCUGGUUCGCCACAGCAUACAUGAUCGCGCGUUCAUCGUAGCUAGGUUGUACAUAUUGAUAGCCGGUAAUAUAAGCUGCAUUCGGUUUGUUAUUUCUGCAAGUGCCUUUGUAUCCUACAUAGGGAUAGUUCGCCUCCGUCGUCACGCCCUUGUUAGCGAUGAUAAAUUCGUAGGCUUUGUGUACCCAACCAGAUGUGCACGCGUUGCUAACAGUACAAUCUAAAACUUCUUGCUCCGAUAGAGAUAUUAGUUGCCCUGUUUUAAUCUUGUAGAUGCCUUCUACCGUCGCGAUUGAAGAGAAUGCCCAGCAAGAACCUAUUUCAAAACAUAUAUUCAAGUUAGCACAACUCGUACAAGCAAAAGUUACGUAGAUUGUUAAUUAAGAUGUAAGAAGAACAUUCAAACAAGUAUGGACAAGGUCAAACAGAUGAUUACUGUGUUACUUUAUGCUUACUUGAGUGAAAAUGAUUAAUGUUGUCAUACUUCUUGUCGGAAAUUAAUUUUUCUAAAAACUUAAUUAAACUACUGAAGAACGAUUUCUAAUUAUUAAGAAUUAAUACUUCUUAUUAUGUCUAAUCUACAAAUGUACAUAUAGUAGGUGAUAACAUGUGUUCGUACACUUUUAGCUAGUCUGAGACAUGAACUUUGCAUUCAAAUGCGGUGGAGGUUUGGUUCUUUUGUCCACAUAAAUGGCUAAUGGAAUGGUGAGAUUUGGGCCCAAGGCAUCCUAUUCUCAUGAGGUUAAUUAAAAAAAUAACAUUUAUUAAGGUUCAGGCUGCUAUAGCUAGAAAUUAAUGCGCUUUAGUUCUCUAAACUCUACACUUGGUUCUUACCGCAAGUUCCUUGAUUCUUGACUGGUGUUACGGCACCGUAAUCCCUCCAAUCAAUGCUUUGAGGUAUCGCGGACAUGUUUACAUCCUCAAACGACACCGAUGGCUCUAAAUUUGUCAUAUUUAGAGGGAGAGAUAGACCGACAUGCUGAGCCACGAUUUCAUCAUUUGUCAUGUCAGCGAAUUGAUUAAUGCCCAGAGUAUACGAGUUGCCGCCGCGCCUGUUGAAGGCUUCAAUGCGGUUCACAUUGUCCUUAAAGAUCUCAAAACGGCGCAUCUUCUCAGCAUCGUCACUGUAAACUCGGCCGAAAUCGGCCAUCCAUUCAUCAAACCUCUUCAUCAUCGAAUCAUCUGCUUCACCGCGAGAAGCCAACGGCGAAGCCCACAGCACAGAAAGAAACAGAAAGAGAAACAAUACUUGGAAUCUGGAAGCCAUAGCUCUGACUUACAAAUGCUUUUUUUGCUGAGAGUAAGGCUCUCCUCAUCGAGUUUAUAUAGUAGUUCUCGGCCUAUGUACGUACUAAAGUUGCUGGACCAUUAUUGGACGAGAGGUCCAUUAUUGGGGGCUAUUAUACGAGAUCAUUAUUGGCGGCAAUAAUAGCUUCAUUUGGUUUGAGAACAAUUUUUGAGUAAUAAUUUUUUAUCGUUCCAGUAACAAAUGGUAUUCCGGAAUUACAUUUCGAUACUGUUUAUUUUGUUGAGCUGGAAUACUCUAUAUUAAUAGUAUUUAAAUUUUUUCGCUAUUAUUUUUUUAACCGUAAGAUCUAUAUUUUAAUUAAUUCCACCAUUUAAAUUAUACUAUUCAAAUAGCUACCCAUUCAAUGCUAAGAAGGACCACGAUCAUUCUAAUUCUAUAACUUUUCAUCAAAAAAUUAGAUAAUCGAUAGUAAAAUAGUCAAAUACUAAUAAUAAUAUUUCAGCUCAAUUCUUAUUUAUUUGUUCUGAAAUGAUAUUAUUUUUUUUUUUUUAGUGAGAAAGGUAGCACGAUACCCGCUUCAUUCAACAGAACGAUGAAUUAGGCUACAAGAGUGGGGCAGCCAAGCCCCGGGCGAAGGCGCAAACAAAAAAUAAAAAAAAAAAAAACAACAACAACGCACGCACACACUUAGGAGAGAGGAAAGAAUCCCACUCCGACACUAAUAGCUUGAGCCUCUGGACAGCUAACCCCGGAUUUGGUUGGCAAUUCCUGAAUAUCCAAUUGUUCCUCACCUUUCAAAUAGUCCACCAGCAGCCUGCCAGAUCAGUAAGUCUGGUUCUCUUCUUGUGCUGAUCCUUUCUAUCCGACCACUUUUCCCAGACGAGUUCCACGUCGUCCCCCAGGUCCUGGGCCUAGAUAUCGUCCACCUCUGAAACUAUGAUGAACUUGGUAAAUAUGCACCUACUGAACAAGUGAUCCACGGUUUCCACUUCCGCCCCACAAAGUACACAGGUAGGGUCGUCCGCCAGCCCUCUCAAAACUAGUUUAUCACGAGUAAGAUUCCUUUUCUUGAGUACCAACCAACAAAAUACUUUGUUUUUCAAAAGGAUUUUCAGGUUCCAGAUCCUGGAUACGCGUACAUCUCUCACACUCUCAAAAACACCAUGAGGUUAGUGCUUUUGAUAUUAUUAGUAUGUGGAUAUUUUAUGUUUGAAUAAGGUAUUGAAAUGAUUAAAAAUGUAUGAAAUAUCAGUUUUGCCCUUAUAUAUAUAUAAUAAUCAAAAUAAGAGUUGAGCUAGAAUACUCUCAAAAGCACCAUGAGGUUAGUGCUUUUGAGUUUUUAACUCUUGGAUGAAAAAAUGUAAGAUUGGGAUGAUGGUAGUAGGUGGUGGUAGGUGGAAUAGUGUUUGAUCUAAGGGCUAUUAGUAAUCAAUGAAUAGACUUAAGGGCUAGAAACCUAAAAGCAUCAAGGGGGUGAUACUUCUAAAAGUAUUCUAGCUCAAUUCAUGAAAAUAAACAUAAAUUAUUAAAAAGCUAAAAAUAUUAUAUUUGUCUCGAUUAUCAAAUUAAAUAUUAAUUUUUUUUAGAGAGAUAGAUAGCACGCUACCCGCUUCGUUUAUUUCCUCUAUAAAUAAACUUAGCUAGAAAUAUAAAUCAACUAGGAUUCGAACUUGGAUCUCGGAUACCAACCACCAAGCCCUUUGCCACUUGUUCUAGGGACGAUCAAUAUCUUUUAAAUGUGAAUCAAAUUUUAAAUAUUAAUUAAUUAUAAUUUAGAAAUAAACUUAGCUAGAAAUAUGAAUCAAAUUAAAUAUUAAUUAAUUACAAUUUAGGUACUUUUUUUUCUCCCUAAAGAAAAACUAGAAGCAAAUUAUUAGCAAAGAAAACACCAUUUUUUGAAUAGAAAAUAAAAAUAAUUCCCACAAUAAAUAAAAAUUAAUUCUCAACCAAAAAAUAAAUUGAUUAAUUUGGAAGAACGAGCUCGGCGACGGAGGCGUUGUUCUCAAAAGUUAGAUCUCCCUGGUGGGAGAACCAAGCUUAACGAGUUAUUAAGAUAUAAUUCGUAAAGUCCUCUACAAGAUCAGCUUUCAAUUCUCUCUUUUUUUUUUUCUUUUUUUUUUCUUUUUUCCUAUAAGUUUAAGAAUAUCUUCCUCGUUCCGGAAAUAUUCCCGAAACAAACUCUUAGUCUCUCUAUUUCAUCAUGAUGCCAUAUGAAUGCAAUGUAUAACCCCGAACCAAACACGGGCUAAAUUUACUACCAUAUAUGUGUUUAGUUCUAUCUUUUAUUUAAAGAUUAUAAUUUUUUUCUUUCUGUAGUUAAAACAAAUUUUACAUGUCUCAUGAUUUCCUACAAGUUGUAAAGGGCUAAGUGGUUGGUACCCGAGGUUCCAAAUUUGAGUCCUAAUUAAUUCACAUUUUAAGUUAAGUUUAUUUCUAAAUAAAAUAAACGAAGCGGGUACUACUUAUCUCUAUAAAAAAAAACUAUUUUGUCGAAAUAUAUUAUAAAGUCACCUGUUAAUGCAGCUAAAAAUAUUCCCAACAUUCAAUGGAUGAUAUAUAGGUAUAGCGUUGUUAAAAGGAGCUUUUUAUCUGAUAAAUGAUCGAGUUGAAUAUAUUUGCUCAUCAAAUUUUAAUAGACGCAAGGCAUAGUCUAUAAAUGUAUAGCCUAUAAAUGUAGUUUAGUAAAAGUAAAAUUACUUUUGUCCAAAUAAAUAGAUGGAACUAUAAGAUUUGAUUUUUUUUUUUUUUUUCUUACUGGGUUCGUUCUAUUUAUGGCCGCAUAGGACCGUACCACGAUAUUCUUGUUGGUUAUUCAGAUCCAACAUUAUUUGUUGUAUAUAUUUAAUAAUUGGAUAAAUUACACUACUGGUCUCUAAGAGGUAGUGAAUUUGCAACCCACCUUAAUAUCGCUUGUUGUGAAUAGAGUAUUCACUUUUAUAACAAUUGUUAAGAUUUCAUAAUGAGAGCAUUAAAGCGAAUAUUUACUAUAAAUCCAUUUUUUCAGCAAAAACUGAUCUUAGUAGUCCAAGAAAAGAGAGAAAAAAAAUCAAAUAAAAAUAAAAGUGAAAUAAUAUUCACUAACUAAAAGUGUAGAACGCAGGGGAAGUAUUCGUUUAUACCUUUUUGCGGAAGUGAUUCGCGCUACAAUGCGACGAGUCCGGAUUAUAGAGGUUGAUUCAUGUAUCCUUGGAUCGUCCUUACAGGUCUUCUAAUGUUCCAAACUCGCGGUGGAUCGAACUACAAACGAGCACGAUCGCAAAUCCACCGUUUAAGACCCUCUAGAAUAGUUGGUUAAUGGAGAAUGUGGUUUUUAUGUUUUUUUCUACGUUUUUCUCUUAGUUUUCUUAUUCUCUUUCUUAUUCUCUUGUUCUUAUUUUUAAUGUGAGAUCACCCGCAUAUUUAUAAGAGUUUCCAAAAUCCUAAUAGGUGCGUAAGAGAUAAGACCAAAUCGGCUAUUAAUUGAUAUCCUAAUAUGAUUAGAAUUUAUUUUUAAUUAGCUUUUCAAUUUAAAAGCGAGAUUAAUUCUAAUCCAGUUAGACAAUAUAAUAACUGUCGGAUCGAGUCCGAUCAUGGAUGCACCCAAUUCGAUUUAAUCGGAUGCCAACAAAAAAAAUAAUUAUAUCCUACUCUUCUGCGCGGAGUAAUUUCAAUUCGAGCUCUCUUUGCAAAUCUCUCUCACCACUUUCUCGUCCUCUAAUCUAACGGCGUCUCUUCUGUGCACGCGUGUACAAAAUGCACAAACGACUCACAGUAUAACAAAAGCGGCCCGCACACAUUGAUGAACAGAAUUACCAACUGGACCAUACUAGGCCAGACAAAACUGUAGAUUAAUUACUCGGCCUUUUUUUGACACCCCGGGCUGUUUGCUUCCAGGAAAAAAUAUCUAGAAAAAUUUAGAGGAAAGAAGUUUUUACAUGAAAAAUUCUUAUUUAAGUUUUCCGCUCGUUUGUUUUCAAGAUAUAUUAGAAUUUUUUUUUAUUUUUUUCUUAAGUUCAUGAAAAACUAGUAUUUUUAUUUUUUAAAUUUUUUUUAGAAAACGAUAAUACUAGUUNUUUUUUUUUUUUUUUUUUUUUUUUUUUUUUUGUAAAAUCUGGAAUAAUAGAGUUUUCUGAUAAAACUGGUUUCUUUGGGACUGAAUGGAGAAACUAGUAAUGUGUGUUAAUUAGUGACACAUUUAUUUUGUAUUAGUGCUAGAGGCCUGAGCCUAGAGGUGGCCUCACACAGUACUUAUUCAAGUUCCCGCUGUGUCAUCCUGACCCAAAUGUUCCUGAACCAUGGUCCAGCCCCACUAGUUUGGACCGCACGUACAUUAUCAGGCCACGGUCCGAUCCUAUUUGCUUUUACAUUUUUUAAUAUAUUUUUAAACUUUCAUUUUUAAGAUUAUAUUGUUUAAGUUUUUAAUAUAUUGAUAUAGUUAUUCAUUCAAUAAGUAGGGAUUUUAUAACUUUUUAAUAUCACUAGUCAAAAUUUAAAUAGUUUCAAUUAUGUCUGAGAGAUAAAAAAAAUAAUUACAAAUACUAAAAGAAAAUAAAACAAAAUAGAAAUUUACGAUAACAUAGCUAACACCGGCGAAAUUAUGUCGAUUGCUCAGACAUAAUAAAACAUUUUUUUUUAAGAGAUAAGUAGCAUGCUACUCGCUUUAUUUAUUUCAUUUAGAAAUAAAUUUAGCUAGAAAUAUGAAUCAACUAGGAUUCGAACUUAGAUAAUGUAGCUUAUUAUUUGGAGCUGUUUUUUUUCCCCUUGUUUUCACUAGUAUAGCUUGCCUAUAUUAUAGAGGUCACGUUGUUUGUUUGGUUUUUUUUUUUUUUUUGAGAGAGAGAUAUAAGUAGCAUACUAUCCGCUUCAUUUAUUUCAUUUAGAAAAUAAACUUAGCUAGAAAUAUGAAUCAACUAAGAUUCGAACUCGAGACCUCAGAUACCAACUAUUAAGUAUUUUGCCACUUGCGCUAGAAACGGUCGGUAUAGAGGUCACAUUGUUAUCUACUUGGUUUUGGUGAAUAGGGAUGAUUAAGAAUACGAUCAAAUUAACAUCUUGGGCAAAAAUUAAUUAAUCUAAAAUGCUUAAUUAUAUAGUUUAUUGCGCCUAUAUUAAUCUUGACAUUUGUUACAACACCAUUAUCUUUCCAAUCAACGCUCUGAGCUAGGUACCGCGGACAUGUUAACAUCCUCAAAUUAACGUCAUUUAUAGAGUCUGAUCUAAUAUUUCGUGGGAUAUAUAAUUAAACCAGUGUGUUGAGCUACAAACUCAACGUUUGCUUUAUAAGCAAAUUGAUUAAUGCCAAGAGUAUAGGAAUUUCUAGAUAGGCAUCGAUAUGGUCGACAUUGUUCUUAAUUAAAGAUCUAAAACCGGUGCAAUUUUUCAUCUUCGUCAUUGCAAAACUACUCAAUCUGACUCGACCAUCCAUUCUUCGAACUUCCUCGGAAUCAUCGGGUUCGCCAUGGAAGGCUGCCAACGGCGAAGCCCACAUCACACAAACAAACUGGAAAAGAAACAAAGCUAACUUGGAAUAAAUGUGGAAGUCAUAUACAUGGCACUAAUUAAAAAGCAGCUAUAUUUAGAAAGGCAUUUGUUGGUGCGGAACAAGGUCCUACCAUCGAGUUUAAGUAUCGUUGACUGAUUCAAAUUAAAUAAAUUGAAAGAUUGAAUAGUAAAUUAGAAUUUUGAAAGAUUAGAUAGCUGAUUCAAGGUGAUCAAUAAUUCAGAGAUAAGCUGCAUACUUUUUUACCGACAAAGAAAUAAAUCCUAACCCUAAAUGCGCGCGCACGUGCACAGUUUUCCUGUAAUAAGCACUAGUUCGUACUCGAUCGGGGUAAUUAAGCAACACACUUUUAAUACUCGAUCAUAUUCUUAUCAAGUCAUAGUAGAAUACACGUACGUCACAACACACGAACGAAUUGAUAUAUAAUAUCAUAAACAUUCAAACAACAUCCAAUACAGAGGACACUCGAUCGUGAGGGCGAGAAUCGCUCAAAUUGGAAGACACGUACGAGGAAUUAACACGAACCAUUUAAGCACGCAGAAUCCAAACAAGUUAACUCAAUCUCCACGCGCACGUCGACGUUAUUUAGUAGCUAUACGAGUUUAUAGUGUCGCGAACGGAUCGAUCGAUCACUUCAUCAAAGCCGAAUUAUAUAUGCAUACAUAGCUAGCUUUGAUCUGAAUUAUAUAGCGCUUAUGCCAUCAGAUCCCACGUCGGCGAGCUCGAGAGGAGUCGAGUUGAUAAUCGGGAUGACCGGCUGCUGGGCAAUACCACAUAAUCCUUCAACUGAAGAGACAUCUCUUUCCAAACGCCCGAACCCAUUUUCGCCCCAGUUUUUUCCCCACGAGUUCUUCAGUAUCCAAUACUUCUCUCCGGUAUUACUGUCCUCGCCAUAACCUAUGAUGGCGACGACAUGGUUGACUGCAGUUCCGCAAGGUCCCUUAAAGAUGCCACCGCCGACGUAAAGCUGGAAGUCCCUGGUGGCUUCGAGAUAGGAAGCUACCGGUUGCUUCGACACGGCAACCUUAAGACUGGUUUCGUUGUUUCUAGGCAGAUGUUGAUAAGCGUCGAUGUAAGCCGCAUUCGGCACGAUGUUGGACUCACAAUUGCGUUGAACUCCUGUAUAGGGAUAGGAAGACUCGGUUGCCACACCUCCAUUCCGUAUGAUGAAUUUGUAGGCUUGGUGCGCCCAGCCUCCACCUAUGCACCCGCUGCCAACGCUGCAAUCCAUAACCUCCUGUUCUGAUAGGGAUAUCAGUGCUCCUUUUUUGAUCUUGUAGAUUCCUUCCACCGUCGCAAUCGCAGCGAACGCCCAGCAAGUUUCUAUUCAAAAUUAAGGUUCACUUUAGCAUUUGCAAGAGAAAUUAAUUAUGUCCGUUAUUAAUUAAUUAAUUAAUUACGACAAAAGAAAGUAUAUACGCCACUUAUUAAGACAUAAUAAUAAUAAUAAUUAUGUAAUAACAUUUAAAUCUAUAUAAGAGAACCGUAUUAUUAUUAUCAUUAAAUUAUUAUUGUUGGGUACAAAUAGCGGUAAUAACUAAUAACUUUUUUUUUGUUAUUAGUACGCAUGCAGCACAAUAAAAUAAUAUGUAUUAUAAUAUAUAAUAUGUUAAAAUAUAAUAUCUUUUAUUAUAUUUAUAUAUUUACAUAGAGCUAGGCACCAAUACUAUCUAUAAUAGCAGGCUCCAGUACUAUAGUCUUGUCUUCAAUCUUACAAUAUUCAAAUUAAUGAUUCAUCCCGUUAAAACCUGGUCCAGCGUAUUUGAAGUUUUUAAAAGUAAAAUUUUAUAUUUUUUCGAUAUAGUUUACUUUAUGAUCAAAUCAUUUGAUAGAAAAUAUUUUAAACUAUCUAUAUCAAUAUCAACAUCCUUAAUCUUGAAUUUAAAAAUUCUAUCCUCAAAUUUUAAAGUUUAUUCAAUUUCAACCGUUCAUUUUGAUAUGCUUUACUUACUAAGUAAACAAUGUCGAAAAAAAUUAAAAUUUUAUUUUUUAGAACUUCAUAAAUUCUAGAUUAUAUAUAACAGUGUGGAUCAUUGAUUUGAACAUUUUAAGAUCGAAAAUAAGAUUAUAAUACUAGAGUAUCGACACUAUAUAUAGUAUAAUAGCCUAAUUCCGUUUAUAUAUAGGUAUUAUUGGGGGACGGUUUAUAAUUAUCAAGUUUCACUAUCUCACAUUCUCAUCCCAUAUCUGAUAUGAUUAUAUGAUAUAAUGCCCGCACACUGUUGGUGGGCUUAAGACAUAAACUUUCAAUUUAAAUGUGAAAAAAUUAUUUAUCUAAGGCAGAUGGAAUGGUAGACCGAGCACAUUUGUUCUAGUGUACGUUAACAUUUAUUGUUUCCGAAAACAAAGAAUAUUUUGGUACAAGAUAAAACAAUUGUAAAUAUGUAUUUGGAUACAUUCGAAGAUAUUUUAGAAGAUAUUCUUCGUAGCGUUUAGAUAAAAAAUCUAGAACAAUAUUUAAAUAUAUUUUUAAAAAUAAAAUAAUUAAUUUAUAUUAGUAUAUUUUAUAUAAAAUUAUUUCAUAUAGUAAUUUAUAAUAUAAUAUUUUAUGUAAUAAUUUAAUUUAAAAUAGCAUAUUUAUGUUAAUAUAUAUAAUAAUUUAUUUUCUAUAAUAAUUUAUUUUAUAUAAUUUAUUUAUAAUAUAUGUAAGGAAUAAAGUAUAAUACUAACAAUAUCCUUAUAAUUUUAAUUAAUAAUAUUAUAAAUUUUAAUACAAAUUAAAAAUAUUUGUAAUAUAUGAAAAAUGAUUUUAUAUAUAAAAUACUUAAUAUUAAAUAAAAUAAUUAAAUAUUAAUAAAUAAAUAAUAAAACUUAAUAAAAUAAAUAAUAUAUCAAAUUUAAUUAAUUUAUAUUAUAUAAUAAAAUUUAAGUAUAAAUAUAUUAUCAUAAAAAUAUUAAUAUAUUUAUNAUAUAUAUAUAUAAAGAGAAGAACAAAGUUGUGUUUAGUUUUCCUUCGAACCAUUUUUAACGGAUUGUUCCAGAAUAACCUGCUUUUAGCGGAACAACCCAUUCUCUUUAGUUCUUCCAUCGGUUGGUUAUAAAUUGGAGGAUAUACCGUCUUGUUCCAGAAUAUCUCCGAUACCAAAUACAGCCUAGAGGAAUAGUAAUGUAUUUCCUAUUCAAACUUUGGUUCCUAGGAGGAGAACUUUGUGGAAAAAAUGGAUUACUAUAAAAGGUACUAUGAAACUUUUUGAAAGAUUCAAGACAUGAAAAUUAAUUUUAAAAAAUGGAAUAAUGAGGUUAGAAGACUAUUGGAAUUUUAACUUAGGGCGUCCUAAACUGCUAAGUAGAUUAAAUUCUGAUGGCAUACCAUGUUAGACCGUCAAUUAAUUGAUUAUUUCUAAUAACUUAGGCUUUUAUUGAUAAUUAGUUGUUUUACAAAAUUAAGCUGAUUUAAUUACUAUAUUAUAGUCAACACUUCUUACCGCAUGUGCCUUGUUGUUUGACUUCUGUCACUGCAUCAUAGUCCCUCCAAUCUAUACUAUCGGGCACUGCGGACAUGUUUACAUCCUCAAAGGACGUCAAGGGCGCCUCUUGCUUCACGUUUAGGGGGAUAGAAGCACUGGUGUACUUACUCAGAAAUUCAUCAAAUGUCAUAUCAGCAAAUUGGUUGGUGCCGAGAGUGUACGAGUUUCCGCUCCGAUUAUUGAAGGUUUCAAUAUAGUUCACGUUAUCCUGAAAUAUCUGAAACCGCCGCCACUUCUCCGCAUCAUCUGCAUAAACACGGCCGAACCGAGCCAUCCAUUCUUCGAACCUCUGCAUCAUGGGAUGACUAGGAGAAGUUGCCCGGGGCGAAGCCCACAUCAGAGAAACAACCAUGUAAAAAAACAAGAGUAGAUAUUUGGAACCCAUGUGUAGCAGUACUAAUAAUAGCAGCUGCACUUGGAAGGGAGACUAUUUAUAUGAUCUAGCUUUCGUUGUGAGGAUGAGCUUCUCGCAUCGAGCUUAUAUAUAUAUAUAUAUAUACACUCAUAUAUAUAGAAGUGCGCGAUUGCUACAUGGAGUAUUAGUGGGAGAUAGAUGUGGACCAUUAUCGAAGGAAAAUAAUUGCCUUUCCUGUUUAAUAAUUAGUUGAGGGAUCCAACACUAGCUUGAUAGGUAAUUAGAAUUAGAUAGGUACAUUAAUUCAUAUCCGUUUUUAUUAACGUAAAGCUAUAUAUAGAUCCAUGGUUCGUACCCUCAAAUCAAUCUUUAAAAAUAAGGAUUGAACCCAGUUCUUAAAUUAUUGUCUAAUUCUAGACUUAUUAGAUAGCAUUCUAUUUUGAAGGAUCAAUUUCUUGUAUACUCCUGUAAGGACUGAGCCCUUGAUGAUUAAUAUCUAAGGUCUCAAAUUCGAACUUUAGUUAUUUUAUAUUUCUAGCAGAGUACAUUUCUAUAAAGCUAAACGAAGCUGAUAACUUGUUACCAUUCACUUUCUCAAAAAAAAAAAAAAAAAAGAAGAGAAAACUAAAAGGUUACUAAUAAGAUAAUAGCAGUAAUAAUAGUACAAGGAAAUGUAUAGAGUUCCUCUUGAUCAAUUAUUAGCUAUGACAAAUGAAUGAUUGGAUCAUUGAGGAAAAAAAAAANAUAUAUAUAUAUAUAUAUAUAUAUAUAUAUAUAUAAUGAAAACUCUAUUCAAACAUAUAUUUUUGGGAUGUAUGAUAUACACCUAUUCUUUCUAAGGUGCUAGUAGAAUCCAUUCCAUCUUUAAAAUGGAUGGGUGUAUAUCAUACAUCCUAAAUAGGGAUGUAUGUUUAGUAUUACUCUUUUGAAAUAUUUCUAGCCCCAUCAAUUGAGUUUACAUAUUUUAACUUUUAAGUUGAGUUAUCAUUUUAGCAAAAUAUUUUAAGAAUUUUCAGAAUUUUUCAAUAUUUCCAUGAAAUUUUAUAAUCUCAAUUACUUUUUAAAAUUAGUAUAAUUAAUUGCUAUAUAUCUGAUAGAGUGCUUUUUUAAAUUAAAUUCAUUUUUUUAGUUAAAUAACUAGGAAUUUUUAAAGUGAAAAUAUAAGAUGGCAAUUUUAAAAUGUCUUAUAUACAUUUGAGGAGGCCUCCGUUCAUCCAUUUAGUGGGUAGGCCUCCGUGCAUUUUUCUCAUUUAAUGAAAAUUUGAACUGAAAUUAUACUUAGAUAUUCUUGCCAUAACAACAUUCUAAAAAAAAAGAAAAUGUAUUUUGAUAUAGUUCCGACACAGACUUUGAAAAAAUAAAAAAAUUGACAAUUUUAUUGGUAGAUGUGAUGCGUUUGUAAAUUUAACGGUAUAAAAUAAUUCAAAUCUGAUGAAAUUUUUAUAGAAAAUUUUUUUCACUAUUUAGAGUAAGAUCAAUACCUCUAAUCUUAAAUUCAAAUCUUUUGUCAUCAUUUUUUAUGAGAUUUUUAUUUUCAAUCAUUAACUUUUAGACUACUCAUUUGAUAGGUAAUGAUGCCAAAAAAUUAUGAAAUUUAGCUUCAAAAUACUUUAAAUAAUGUAGAUCAACUCGAGCAGAGCCGAUCGUUGAUUUGGAAGCCGCACCAUUAAAAAUAACUUGGUAGCACGGAGGUCUCCAUGCUACCGAUAGUAUACCAGCCUUGCUUUCUUUCUCUCUCUAUAUAUAUAUAUAUAGAGAGAGAGAGAGAGUCCAGUUGUGAUACUAUCGAUAGCACCAAGGACUUAGUGCUAUUGAGUUUUCUACCGUUAAAUUUAACCGUUUGGUUAUUUUUACUCAUUAGAUUAUACUAUUCAAUCAACCACCCACUCAACUCUAGGGGACCCACAUCAUCCUAACCGCAUAUUUCUCAAUCCAAUGGCUAAAAAACUAAUAACACCAAUAACUUUGUGCUAUUGAUAGUGUUCCAGCCUAAUUUUAUCAAUAACAUUAAAUUAUUGGUGUUAUUAAAUUUUCAGUUAUUGAAUGAAAAAAAUAUACGGUUAUGAUGAUGCGGGCUCCUCGAGAAUUGAGUGAGUAAUUAGUGAGUUGUUAGUUGAGUUAUUAGUUGAAUCGGUCAAACUGGAAGCCACGAGGAACACGAACCACUUAAGCACGCAGAAUACAUAACGCACACAUCCAAACAAGUUAACUCGAUCUCCACGCACACGUCGACGUUAUUUAGUAGCUGUCGAGUUUAUCGUGUCGCGAGCAGAUCGAUCGAUCACUUCAUAUAUAGCUGAAUUAUACAUCGCUUCGAUCUGAAUUAUACAGCGCUUAUGCCAUCAGAUCCCACGUCGGAGAGUUCGAGAGGAGUCGAGUUGAUAAUCGGGAUGAGCGGCCACUCGGCAAUACCACAUAAUCCUUCAACUGCAGCGACAUCUCUUUCCAAACGCCCGAACCCCUUUUCGCCCCAGUUUUUUCCCCACGAGUUCUUCAGUAUCCAAUAUUUAUCUCCGGUAUUACUGUCCUCGCCAUAACCUAUAAUGGUGACGGCAUGGUUGACUGCAGUUCCGCAGGGUCCCUUAAAGACGCCACCGUUGUAAAGCUGGAAGUCCUUGGUGGCUUCGACAGCGGAGGCUACCGGUUGCUUCGACACGGCAACCUUAAGACUGGCUUCGUUCUUUCUAGGCAGAAACUUGUAAGCGUCGAUUUCAGCUGCAUUCGGCACGAUGUUGGACUCGCAAUUGCCUAGAACUCCUGUAUAGGGAUAGGAAGACUCGGUUGUCACACCUCCAUUCCGUAUGAUGAAUUUGUAGGCUUGGUGCACCCAGCCUCCACCUUUGCACCCGCUGCUAACGCUGCAAUCCAGAACCUCCUGCUCUGAUAGGGAUAUCAGUGCUCCUUUUUUGAUCUUGUAGAUUCCUUCCACCGUCGCAAUCGCAGUGAACGCCCAGCAAGAUUCUAUUCGAAAGAAAAAUUUUACUAUAGCAUUUGCAAGAGAAAUAUAUAUAUAUAUAUGUCCGUUAUUAAUUAAUUAAGGCAAAAGAAAUUAUAUAUGUCAUUUAUUAAGACAUAAUUAUGUAAUAAUAUUUAAAUCUAUAAGAAACCCGUAUUAUUGUUAUCAUUAAAUUAUUAUUGUUGAGUACAAAUCGUACUAAUAAAUAAUAAUUUUUUUUUAUUGUUGUUGUUAUUAGUACUUAGCACAAUAAAAUAAUUUGUAUUAAAAUAUAUAAUAUGUUAAAAUAUAUUAUCUUUUAUUAUAUUUAUACAUUUAUAUAGAGCUAAGCUCCUAUACUAUCUAUAAUACCAGUCUUUGAUACUAUAGUCUUGUUUUCAACUUUAAAAUAUUCGAAUUAAUGAUUCAUGCCGUUAAAAACUGAUUUAGGGUAUUUGAAGUUUUUGAAAUAAAAUUUUAUAUUUUUUCGAUGGAUUGCUUAUGAUCAAAUCAUUUAAAAAUUAUCAAUUUUCAAUGACUAGUAUGGUGAGUUUGUAAUAUAUAUAACGGUAUAAAAAAUUCUAAAUUUAUUCAUAUUUUUAUAAAAAAAAUAUUUUAAACUAUUUAGAUCAAGAUCAACAUACUUAAUCUUGAAUUUAAAAGUUCUAUCCUCAAAUUUUAAAAUUUGUUCAAUUUUAACUGUUCAUUUUAAUAUGAUUUACUUACUAAGUAAAUAAUGUCAAAAAAAGUUAAAAUUUUAUUUUUAAGAAUUUUAUAUAUUCUAAAUCAUAUGUUACGUUGUGGAUUAUUGAUUUGAACAUCUUAAGAUCGAAAAUAAAACUAUAAUACCGGAAGCAUCGAUACUAUAUAUAGUAUAAUAGCCUAAUUUCGUUUAUAUAUAUAUAUAUAUAUAUAUAUACUAUUGGGGACGGUUUAUAAUUAUCACAUUUGACGGUCUCACCCCAUAUCUGAUAUGAAGACACAUGAUAUAUGAUAUAAUGCCCGCACACUGUUGUUGGGCUUAAGACAUAAACUUUCAAUUUAAAUGUGAAAAAAUUAUUUAUCUAAGGCAGAUGGAAUGGUAGGCCGAGCACAUUUUGUUCUUGUGUUAACAAGGGCUGCGUUUGGUUGAAAAACUAAAUUUUGUAAAACAACUUUUGUUAUUCCCGAGAACAAAAAAUAUUUCGGUAAAAGAUAGAAUCAUUGUAAAUUUGUGUUUGGAUACAUUUGGAGAUAUUUUAAAAAAUAUUCUUACUAGCGUUUGAAUAAAAAGUCUAGAAUAAUAUUUAAAUAUAUUUUUAAAAAUAAAAUAAUUAAUUUAUAUUAGUAUAUUUUAUAUAAAACUAUUUCAUAUAUUAAUUUAUAAUAUAAUAUUUUAUGUAAUAAUUUAAUUUAAAAUAGCAUAUUUAUUUUAAUAUAUAUAAUAAUUUAUUUUAUAUAAUUUAUUCAUAAUAUAUGUUAUGAAUAAAGUAUAAUACUAAUAAUAUCCUUAUAAUUUUAAUUACUAAUAUCAUAAAUUUCAAUACAAAUUAAUAAAUAUAUAUCAUGUAUGAAAAAUUGAUUAUAUAUACAAUACUUAAUAUUAAAUAAAAUAACAAAAUAUUAAUAUAUAAACGAUAAAACAAAAUAAAAUAAAUAAUAUAUCAAAUUUAAUUAAUUUAUAUUAUAUAAUAAAAUUUAGGUAUAAAUAUAUCAUCAUAAACAUAAUAUUUAUAUUAAUAUAUUUAUUUAUAUAUCUAUUUAUCUAAUAAAAUAAAAAGAAGAACAAAUUUAUUCUUAGUUUCCCUUCGAACAAUUUUUAACAAGUUGUCCCAGAACAAUCCGUUUUGAUCGGAACAACCCCUUUUUUUCAUCUUUCACCAUUUGGUUACAAAUUAGGAAUAUGCCGUUUUAUUCCAGAAAAUCUCCAGUGCAAACGCAGCCUAGCUAGAGGAAUAGUAAUAAAUUUCCUAUUCAAACUUUGGUUCCUACGAGAGAGAUCUUUGUGAAAAAAAUGGAUUACUAUAAAAGGUACUAAUAAAAUGUUACUUUAAAUACCAUACUUUCUAAACUUUCUUCUAUUUAGGCUCGAAAUUUAUUUGACACAUCCAAGACACAAAAAUUAAUAAAAUGAAAGAGAAUUAAAUGAGGUUAAUUAGAAGCCUACUGGAAUUUUAACUCAGGGCCUCCUAAACUGCUAAUUAAGUAGAUUUAGUACUCAUGGCGUACAUGUUAGACAGUUAAUUAAUUGAUUAUUUCUAAAAACUUAGGCUUUUAUUGAUAAUUAGUUGUUUUACAAAAUUAAGCUGCUUUAAUUAAUAUAUUAUAGUCAACACUGCUUACCGCAUGUGCCUUGUUGUUUGACUUCUGUCACAGCAUCAAAGUCCCUCCAAUCUAUACUGUCGGGCACCGCGGACACGUUUACAUCCUCAAAGGACGUCAAGGGCGCCUCUUGCUUCAAGUCUAGGGGGAUAGAAGCACCGGUGUACUUACCCAGAAAUUCAUCAAAUGUCAUAUCAGCAAAUUGGUUAGUGCCGAGAGUGUACGAGUUUCCGCUUCGAUUAUUGAAGGUUUCGAUAUAGUUCACGUUAUCCUGAAAUAUCUGAAACCGCCGCCACUUCUCAGCAUCAUUUGUAUAAACACGACCGAACCGAGCCAUCCAUUCUUCGAACCUCUGCAUCAUGGGAUGACUAGGAGAAGCUGCCCGGGGCGAAGCCCACAUCAAAGAAACAACCAUGUAAAAGAACAAGAGAAGAUAUUUGGAACCCAUGUGUAGGAGAAGCUGCACUUGGAAUGGAGACUAUAUGAUCUAAUGAGGAUACGCUUCUCGUAUCGAGCUUAUACAUAUAUAUAGAAGUGCGUGAUUGCUACAUGGAGUAUUAAUUAGUGGGAGAUCGAUGCUGUGGAACAUUAUUGAAGGAAAAUAAUCGCCUUUCCUCUCUAAUAAUUAGUUUGAGGGAUCCAACGCUAGCUAGAUAUAGGUAAUUUAGAAUUAGAUAGGUACAUUCAUAUCCUUUUAUUAUCGUAAAAGCUAUAUCUAGAUCGAUGGUUCGUACCCUCAAAUCAAUCUUUAAAAAUAAGGAUUGCACCCAAUUCUUAAAUUAUUGUCUAAUUCUAGACUUAUUAGACAGCAUUAUAUUUUGAAGGAUCAAUUUCUUUAUAUACUCCUGUAAUGACUGAGCCCUUGAUGAUUAAUAUCUAAGAUCUCAAAUUCGAACUUUAGUUAUUUUAUAUUUCUCGCAGAGUUCAUUUCUAUAAAACAAAACGAAACUCAUAGCUUCCGACCCUUCUCUUUCUCAUAAACAAAAAAAAAAAGAAAAACAAAAAAAAAAACCUAAAAUGCUACAGAUAAAUAGUCGCAGUAAUAAUAGUACAAAGAAAUGUGAGAGUCUCUUGAUCAAUUAUGGCUAAUGACAAAUGAAAGAUUGGAUCAUUGAGGGAAAAAAUAUAUUGAAUCCCCUCCAUCAAUUAUAGACCAUUGCUCUUUGAUAAUAUAUAUAUAUAUAUAUAUAUAUAUAUAUAUAUAUAUAUAUAUAUAUAUAUAUAUAUAAUAAAAACUCUAUUCAUACAUUUUUUUUUAGGGUGUAUGAUGUACACCUACCCUUUCUAGGAUGCUAGUAGAAUCCAUCCCAUCUUAGAAUGGGUGGAUGUAUAUCAUACAUCCACACUUAGAAUAGGUGCGUGUAUAUCAUACAUGCUAAAUAGGGAUGUAUAUUUAGUAGGGAAAAUUUCAUAGAUGCCCCUGUAGGAGACCGAAAUUUCAUCAAUAGCCCUCUAAAAUUCAAAAUAUCAUGAAUGCCCUUCUAAAUUUAAAAAAUAUUCAUGAAUACCCCUACAGGUUAUGUACCGUUAGAAUCUAACGGAAUAAGGUGUAAAUACCAUUUCUGCCCUUGCACUGCUCCUUAACUAUAGGGAUAAUAUCACAGAUGCCCUUCUAGAAAUAGUUAAUUUCAUUAAUACCUAUCAAAAAUUGAUAAUAACACGAAUACUCUCCAACAUAUUAAAAAUUAUCACAAAUGCCCUCCACUAGUUAAUAUCCGUUAAAAUCAUUAAAUUUUUAAAAUAUCAUUUUUACCCUUUAUCUCUUAUCAAUAAUAGAAACACUAAUAGGUAUUUCAAGAUAAUUUUUAUAAAUCUAAAUUUGACUAUUUAAUAUAUAAAUAUUAAAUUAAUUUUUAAAUGAUAUAUAAAAAUUGUAUUUUAUAUAUAGUAUGUUUUUAUAUGGUUUUGGUUUUGUUUUUGGCUUCGAGUUUUGGUUCAAAUUCGAUUUGGAUAUAGACCAAAAUCAUAACUAAAUUUAAAUACGAUGAGAGUUCAUUUUUUUGUACUUAUAAUUGAAACUAUCCCGCUCAGCAUCGAUUAAGCUCAUCUCAUUCAAAAUUGAGUUCACAUAAAAUUGUAUACCUAUAUCAUUUCACAUUCCUAAUCAGUAAUAGUAAUUUGAAAUAAAUUAUAGAUUUUAUGUUUUUCCUAUUUAAUCAAAAAUAAAUUACAUAACUAUAUCAAUAUGCAUGCUUUUUUUAUUGAUUUUUUUAAAAAAAGAGAAUUUUGUUCAAAAGCUUAAAUAUAUUAUAUUUCAGUUUUUAAUGCAUUUAAUGCAGAUAAAAUUAUUGAGAAUAAUUUAAGCUUCCAAAAUUAAAGAAAGAUCGAAAAAUCCUCAACAUUUACUUUUAUUUAAUUUUUUAUACAUAGUUAAAAUAAAUGGAGCCACUAGAUUUGGUGAAAUCAUAAAAACCUUGAUAAAAUUUUUAUUUUUCAUACACUAAAAUUAGUUAAUUUUUUAAAAAACCAAAAGUUAAUGGGAUGUUAACUUAAAAAAAUAAAAGUUGAGGGAGCCAUUGAGGGGCUCUCCAUACAUUUUUAUUAAAGAGAUAGGUGAGGGUAAAUAGGUCAUUUUAAAAGUUAACCCAUCUUUAACCAUUAAACAACUAUGGUAAAGGUAAUAUAACUAACUGUAGGGGUAUGGGUGAUACUUUUUUAUAUUUAUAGGGGCAUAUAUGAUAUUUUAAACUUUAUAGUGGCAUCCAUGAUAUUUUCAGCUUUAGGAGGGUUAUCUAUGAAAUUGCCCCUAUUUAGUAUUACUCUUUUGAAAUAUUUCUAGCCCCAUCAAUUGAGUUUACAUACUUUAAUUUUAAGUUGAGUUAUCGUUUUAGUAAAAUAUUAAUUGUAAGAAUUUUCAGAAUUUUUAAAUAGUUCCAUCAAAUUUAUAAUCUCAAUUACUUUUUAAAAUUAGUAUAAUUAAUUGCUACAUAUCUGAUAGAGUGCUUGUUUAAAUUAGAUUCAUUUUUUUACUUAAAUAACUAGGAAUUUUUAAAGUGAAAAAUAUAAGUUGGCAAUUUUAAAAUGUCUUAUAUACAUUUGAGGAGGCCUCCGUUCAUCCAUUUAGUGGGUAGGCCUCCGUGCAUUUUUCUCAUUUAAUGAAAAUUUGAACUGAAAUUAUACUUAGAUAUUCUUGCGAUAACAACAUUCUAAAAAAAAAAUGUAUUUUGAUAUAGAUCUGAUACAGACUUUGGAAAAAAAAAAAAAAAAAAAGGUUCUUUGAUAUACUUAUCAUAUCAAUAUUCCUAAACAAUAAAUAAAUAAAUAAAGAUAUAGGUCCGAUAACAUAUUUGCUUACCUUUUUUUGUUACUGAAAAAUUUUCUGUUGGUCUUUGCAUUCAGAGAAAAAAAUGCUUAGUGUAUGUAUAUAUAUACACUAGAGUUAUUAUGUAUCCAGAAAAAUAAAGAUCUAGAAUUUGGUAAUUUUAAUUUUUUUGCCCUUAGAUCAAGAAUUAUAGAGUUGGGAUUAUAGUGGUCCCACCCUAAGAUUUAAUGGUCUCCUUAGCGGAAUAAUAUUAAUUCAAGAGUUAGAAAUGGUCAAAAUUUUGAUUAAAGAUUAAAAAUUGAAACCACCAAAUUAAUGAGUCCAUUCUCCCAACCCUUUAAAUUGUUAUGAUUGUGUCCUUAACCUCUUACACAAUUUUCAAUUGAGUACUUUCGCUCUCAAUUGUUGCAAUUAGAUCCUUAACUUGUUUCAUUAGUAUAUAUACAUGGUAUGAUUCAUGCAGUCGAAGUACUUGUUAAAAAAUAGGUCUUAUAAACGCUUAAAAUGUAGUGGAGAGGCAGGUUUAAAUUAUAUCUAGAUUUAACAUUUCAUUUAAAAUCAAAUCUGAAACUCAUAAUAGUUCAUAACAUGUCGUCACAAACUUUUAGCAGGUCCAAGACAAGAACUAAGUUAAAAUGGGUGGAAUUUUGAUUCUUUUUCUCCAAAUAACACAACAAUUUUUUGUGUAAAAGCGUCCGCCGCUCCAUAUAUAGCAUAUCUCAUCGGAAAAAAAAAAACAUUUUUAAAUUUCUUUUUUGUAUGCAUAUAUAGUAUAAGAUGAUAAGUAUUUUAAUUUUUGAUGAAUACGUACAAUUUUUUAAAAUAAUAUAAAUAAGUUAUAUAUGGUGAAUAAUUUAUUUUUAAAAAAUAUAUGAACUAUUAAUAAAAUAUAUUAACUUUUAUUCAUUUGAAAAAUAUAAUAAUAUUUUAGCAAAAUUAAUAUUUUAUAUAUAAAAAAAUAUAUUAUAUUAUAUUAAUAAUAUUAUAUUUUAUUAUAAGCGGUGUCUUGCUAUACCGCAUCCGUAUCUUACUUUCCAAAAACUGCUAAGUCAUCGUGUCCGAACUGUGUCGUAUUUCGUAUUUUGUGUCCGUGUUUCGUGUAUGUACCGGUGAUGCCUAACUAGCUAGCUAGCUAGCUAGAGAAAAUUGUCGAGCUUUAAUCAUCUAUAUAUAUAUAUAUAUAUAUAUAUAUAUAUAUAUAUAUAUAUAUAUAUAUAUAUAUAUAUAUAUAUAUAUAUAUAUAUAUAUCACACACGUAGUUCAUCACAGUAGUAAUAAGCAGCACACUUUUAAUUACUACUUGAUAUUCUUACUAGCUAGUCAAAGCAGAAUACACAUCGAUCACAACAUACAUAUACAAAUGGCUUGAUCAUAAUACGAUAAUUAUUCAAACUUGCGAAGGAACGCGACAAGGUGAGGAUCACUUGAUCAAAUUGGUAAUAAACGACGAGGAACUCGAAGCACCUCCUUAAUUAUUUGUUAUAUAUUGGUAGGGAACGAUCGCUUCAUAUAUAUAUAUAGCUAAAUCGCAGCUUCAACCUUAUGCAGAGCUUCUUAGGCUAUCAGAUCCAACAACGGCGCCGGCGAGUUCCGUAGGAGCAGUUGAUGUGAUAGUUGGGUAAACUAGCUGCUUGGUAAGACCGCAUAAUCCAGAUUUGGAAGCGACAUCUUUUUCCAAUCUCAUGAAGCCAUUUUCUCCCCAGUUUGUACCCCAUGAAUUCUUUAUUAUCCAAUACUUAUCUCCAGUACUGUUGUCCGCUCCAUAACCUAUGACAGUGAUGGCAUGGUUAAUCAUAACUCCGCAAGGUCCUUUAUAGAUACCGCCGGUGUAAAGCUGGAAUUUCUUAUCUGCUUCGACGGCCGCGGCAACCGGUUGCUGCGACACGGCGUUCAUAAGUUUACUUUCACUGCGAGGCAGAAACUUGUAACCGGUUAUAGAAGCUGCAUUGGGCACGAUGUUGGAAGCGCAAUUGCCUUGAACUUCUUUGUAGGGAUACGAAGCUUCCGUUGCCACGCCUUUGUUAGAUAUGAUGAAAUCGUAGCCUUUGUGCACCCAGCCUCCGCCUUUGCACCCAUAACUAACGCUGCAAUCCAGAACCUCCUGCUCUGAUAGAGGUAUCAGCGAUCCUUUUUUAAUCUUGUAGAUUCCUUCCACCGUCGCAAUUGCAGUGAAUGCCCAGCAGGAUUCUACUCCGAAAACAAAGAUUCAAUUAAUUGUUUAGCAUUUACAAUAGAAAUUAUGUCCGUUAUUAAGACAUAAUUAUGAAAACAUCCAAACAAUAGGUUUUCUUUUUCUCUUUCUUUUUUUUCCAAGAGAAAGGUAGCAAGUUGCCUCCUUCCUAUAUUUUUUUAAAAUAAAUAAAUUUAGAAAGAAAUUUAAAAUAAUUAAAUUUUGAAUUUGGAAUCUCGAAUAUCAACCGGCAAACUUUUAGCCAACUGCACUAGAUACGAUCGGCAGCAAAACUAAUUAGAAGUUAUUACGAAACCAAAACGUACUGCUUCUAACAAUCUCCUAAGAAGUGAAUUCCCACAGCAGAUAUAUAUCCUCUUGAAAAGAGGAUGGCCAAGUGAUUAACAUUGCGGUUUAUAAUAAAUUAAUUUUACAAUAAUUUAUUUUUAUUAAAUUAUAUUUUAUAUCAAAUUCAAUUAUUAUAUUUUUUUUUCACUAUCCUCUGCUAAUUAAUCAAACACAAUUUUAACUAUUUCUGAGAAUAGCAACAUUACAAACUAAAUAUAAUUUUAUUUUUAUUCUUGAUUAGCUCUUGAAUAGUAAAUUAUUCCAGAGAUAAAAAAAAUUUAUUCUAAUGUUUGUUAUCCUGAAACCAAAUAGGACCUUAUUAGUGCAUUCCAAUAGCAUAGACUACUGUUUUGUAAUUAGGUACACUUCUUUUUUCGGGGCGUGCGCGCUUAUUUUAGGUCUAUUUUUAGGUCAAAAAAUGAACUUCUUAAUGAUAUAUACUUGGUUGUAUUCACCAGUAUCAGCAAACAGUAACUUAUUGCACAGCAAGGCUAACUUCAUUUCAUGUGUUUCAAGUACCUUUUCGAGGAUAUUUAUUCACGUGCUUAUUUAAUUUCAAUGCUAGCUACAGUGAAGGUCCGUACUAUUCAAAACUUUUCUUGGGAAAAGGAACUCUAAAAGGAGACCAUAUAAAUUUGUUUUACUGAUAAUGCAUGAAAUGGUCUCUCUUUUUUUUUUUCCAAAAUAAACACGUCCAAUUAAUUCUUAUCACGUACGCUACUACCCUGUGACACUUCAUUUCGUUCGAGUACAAGCAAGAAUUAUUUAUUUUAGAAAUAGAUACAAAUUUUGAAAUUUACGUUUAGAUAAAAAUUGAGUUGUUCUCGAAAAUAAAAAAAAAAUAACGUUUGAAUAGAUAAGAUACAAUAAAAAAAAUAUUGAAUAGUUAUAAAUAGAAAAUAAUGAUAUUAUUCCUUAUAUUAUAUUUAAAUUAAUAUUUUAUAUUUUAUAUUUAAAUUUUUAAAUUUAAAUAUAUAAUUUUUAAAUUUUUAAAUUUAAAUUUAAAAUUUAAAAUCUCGAAUUCGAGAGUUUGAGCUAGCUAGGAGGGUCUUGUUCUAAUGUUAACUGUUAAAUAUAAAAAUGUUUAAACACCGUUCUCUAACAAUUUAAGCUUUUGAGUACAACGGUUGUUUCACAUGCUAUUAAUUUCCUUCCAUUUAAUUCAAGCCCACGUCAUGGCCGAUUAAAAAGUCUCGAGCCCAGACGUGAGGGGGACUACUAUGCUAUCGAAAGCACGGAGCCUUCCGUGCUUCCAGCUCGUUUUCGAUGUUGCAACUUUCGAAUUGUCGAUCGGCUCCGUUAAACUUGAUCUAGAGUAUUUGGAGUAUCUAGAAAAUAAAUUUUAUUAUUUUUUGAUAUCAUUUGCCUAGUGAUCGAAUGGGCUCAAAAUCAACAAAUUUCAAUGGCCGUAGUGUGCUGUUUGCAAGUUUAACGGUGUAGAAAUAUCUAAAUCACGUGAAAUUUUGAUAGAAAAUUCUUUAUACUAUAUAAAACAAGAUCAAUAUCUUUGAUUUAAAAUUUUAAUGUCAUAUUAUUACAUUUUGUAAGAUUUUUAUUUUCAGCCGUUGAUUUUGAGCCCCUUCGUUCACUAGGCAAAUGAUAUCGUAAAAUCAUAAAAUUUAUUUUCUAGGUACUUCAAAUACUCUAGAUCAAGUUUAACGGAGCCGAUCGACGAUUCGAAAGUCGCAACAUCGAAAACGAGCUAGAAGCACGGAAGGCUCCGUGCUUCCGAUAGCAUAGUAGCCUCACUCUAUAUAUAUAUAUAUAUAUAUAUAUAUAUAUAUAUAUAAAUAAUACGUACUUAACACUUCUUACGGUGUAUGCCUUAUUGUUUGACUUUUAUGAUAACAUUAUAGUCCCUCCAAUCUAUACUUUGAGGCACUGAGGACAUUUUACGUUCUCAAAUUAUGUCAACGGCGCCUCUGACUUCAUAUUUAGAGGGACUGAUUUUAUGUUCAUGGCAUGUCAUGUUAGAAUGUCGCUUAUCUUUAAAAACUUAAACUUACAUGUGAAACUAGCUAGUUGCUUUACAAAAGGACACUGCUUUAAUAUAUAUUACAUUUAACAUUUCUUACCGCAUCACUUAAUGAAUGAAGCAGGUAGCAGCUUGCUACCUAUUUCUUAAAAAAAAAUACUUCUUACCGCAUGUGCCUUGUUGUUUGACUUCAGUGACGGCACCAUGGUCCCUCCAAUCUAUGCUCUUAGGCACCGCGGAUAUAUUUACAUCCUCAAAUGAUGUCAAGGUCAAUGUCUCUGACUUCAUUUUUAGAGGGACAGAUGUACCGGUGUACUUAGCUAGAAAUUCAUCAAAUGUCAUAUCAGCAAAUUGGUUAGUGCCGAGAGUGUACGAGUUCCCGCUUCGAUUAUUGAAGGAUUCGAUAUAGUUCACGUUAUCCUGAAAUAUCUGGAACCGCCGCCACUUCUCCGCAUCGUCUGUAUAAACACGAUGGAACCGAGCCAUCCAUUCUUCGAACCUCCGCAUCAUGGGAUCAUCCGGUAGGCUACGAGAAGCUGCCCGUGGCGAAGCCAACAUUACAGAAACAACCAUGUAAAAUAACACAAGUUGAAAUUUGGAACCCAUAAUAUCACCUACACUUUGGAAUGGUUUAAUUUCGUUUGUGUGGAUGAGCUCCUUGCCAAAUCGAGCUUAUAUAGAAGUUCGUGACUACAACUAGAAGCAUUAGUAGGAGAUAGAUGCUGUGGAAAAUAAUGGAAGAAAAAUAAUCGAAGGGCCUAUUGAAAGCGGCCUUUUGGCCGGUGACAAUUAGUUGAGGAAUCCAAAGCUCGGUAGAUAUUUAACAAUUAGAUACCUGGAUCAAAAUCCUUUGAACAAUUAGAUGUUUACUGCUAUAAGCUAGAACUUAUAGAAACAGCACAACGGUAAAAUUUUCAAUGAGUUGUAUAGAUCAUCUGAAAAAAAAGCUCGAGUAUCUCACAAUAAUGCACUAAUGUUGUUUAAAUUUUUGUAACCGGAGGUUUCAAUUUGGGAGAUCAAUUAUUACUGUGGGCCUACUCAGCCCUAGUAAUUAUAACCUAUAUUUGUUUUACACGUAACUUCUAUUAUACAUUCAAUAAAACGUGUAGGUAAUACCCUGUACAUUCCUUUCACAAAAAAAAAAUCACAAAGCUAUAGAUUAUUUUCAAUUCGAUCACAAAACAAGUAAAGAAAUAUGACAAUAUUUGAAACGAAAUCUUUAUGGCCCAAUGCUUGCUCUUGCAAGUAUGAGUAAAUAGAAAUAGAAUUUGUGGCAAAUAAUUGAUUGUUUUAACUGUGUGCGUGCGUGUGUGUAUAUAUAUUGGAUCCCUUAAUCAAUUCUAUACGUUAAAUUAUGUUAUUCUAUCAACUAUCCACUAAAUCUUAGGAGACUACUAUCAUUUCAAACCUACAAUUUUUUAUCUUAAGGGUUAUAAAGUUAGUGGUAAAAAAGUACAAAUAUUAUUAAUAUUAUUCCAACACAAUUAUAUAAAUGUAUACGCAUAAAUUGCACCUUAAUUUCCAUGAUUAGAUUAAUAAUUAUAUAUUGUGAUGAUGUAAUUAUCGACUUUUACAUUCUUGUUCGAUUUUCUCUUCAAGGUGACCGCAAAGCAUUGCUCUUAUGGCUAGUCCUUAAUUCACAUCAAUCAUUAUAAUCAUCUAGCUUCCAUGAUUCAUAAGUUUUUUCGAUCGACCCGACUUUAAUUUUAUGUGUAAUUUAAAAAUUGUUAGUGUUAUUAAUUUAAAAGAUCAAUUUAAUUAAGAAUCUGCUUAUGAAUAGUCUUAAAAUUGAUAACUAUGCUGUGAUGGAUACAGAUUAUGUUUUUUUGAGAAAAAGAUAGCAUACUAUUAAUUUCGUUUAUUAUGUGGAGCGUAGAGCUUAUAAUAAUUGAACCCAUGCGUUAAUGCGUUGUAUCCAAAGUAGGAGAAGGACUAGGUGANUAUAUAUAUAUAUAUAUAUAUAUAUAUAUAUAUAUAUAUAUAGAGGUUGAGUAGUUGAUAGGCGUUUGUCAAUUGGCAGCUGCAUGUGUACCACAAUCUGACCUAAAAUUGAUUUAGGUACAUAAAUAGCUCCUGUAUUGUAAAAGCUCUAUAUAAGGUAAAUUCACAAAGCCCUCUUUUACAUUACCCCACGUCUCAAUUACCUCUUAGUAAUCGAAUUGUUGGUAUAUAUCUUACUACAGAGAUUGCAAACCCACCAUUCUAAAUCACGAUUUCGAAUUGCUCAUUCUGAUAUCCACCGAUUUCUUAUCAGAAUAGAAAAAAGUUGCAAACUGAUGGAGAAUUGAAAAAAAAAGGGGCAUGCACAUAAUUAGAUUAGAAGAGCAUGAGCGAUUCAACAGGAACGAUUCAACUAAUCCUGUGUAGCUGUGCAACUUUCCACAAUAUAUGCCCCAUUAAUUUUAGGUAAUUUUAAAGGAGGCACAUUAAGGUCGAGGGAACUGGUGUCAAUUGCAAGUACUUGGGGGAUUAUCUGGCUUAAACACAACAGGAGUAUUUUUUAGAAAAUGGAGGUAUUGGUGGGAAUAACCAAGAAUUACUAUUCUCGGAUAAAAAAUUAGUGUUUGGGUAUAAAAGGGGGAUAAGGGCCUAUUCCUAUCACUAUGUAGCCUAAUUUACUAUCUAAUUAAAUGAAGCAGUGGCAUGCUACUAUUUCUCAAAAAAAAAAAAAAAAAAAAAAAAAAAUAAAAAAAAAAAAAAAAAAAAAAAAAAAAAAAGGGUAAUUUUUACUGAAACCAAAUUCACCUUCUGUUUCUCUUUUCUCCUUUUCUUUUUCUUUUCUUUUCUCUCGUGUUUUCUUGUAGACUUCCUUAACUGAUGUCGAAACACUGUAUUUUAUUUUUAAUUAAUUGACGAUUUUUUUUUCCUCUUUCCAAAAGGAAAAAAGAAAAGAAUCUUUAAACUAAGAUGUAUGAAUUUGGUUUCAAGGUAAGGAUGAGGAUUAAAAUUUUCAUUAUUUUACCAAAAAGUCUCCACCAUCCUUAUAUUUUUUGAGCAAGAGAAAUAAAAGAAAGUAAACUUUUCUAUAAGUUUUUUGAGAAAUUAACUCAACUAGAAAUGCGAAACAACUAAUUUUUAAAUUUAGAAUCUUUGGUACCAACCAUUAAUUAGUCUCAGAUAUCAAUUAUUAAAUCUUUAACCAAUUUCACUAGAUACAGUCAGUACGUAGUAGUCUCUAUCUGCUUAUUGAUGUGAUGAGAUAGUGUGUUGGAUUAAUAAAGUAAAUUUUGGACGAACCCUGAAUUUUAGCUUGCGGUCGUAGUUUCUACUUAUAGCCUUCUGUGUGUGCGUGUUAAUGUCUAACGUGAGUUGGACCAGAAAUAGAUAAAAAUUAUAGGACUCAGAAGACAAAACCUUCCACUAGGCUUUUCUAGUAUACCAAAGGAACAAAUUAAACGAUCUUAUAUAGCAAUAUGAAUAAACUUCUCCUAUAUAGAUAUAGUCCAUAUUUUUAUCUGUGUUGGAACCCAAUUAAGUAAUUUACAUUAACCUCAUCCUACAAAAUGAGAUAUAAAUAGUUCACAGUAAGUAAACAGCUCACUUCAACUAAUACUUGAUAUUCAUGUCAAAUUAAGCUGAGUACCCUCGCACAAAGUACAAACAGUGGGAUAAUUAAUAAUACAUAUUCAAACUCGGAAUACGAAGCAAGUAACGAGCGAGGGAGAGAACCAUGCACACAACAGCCCUUUUUGUGACUUAAUUACAAGCUUAUACAGGAGCAAACAAGCACUUAAUUAAUUAGAUAGAGCUAGUUAUGCUGUCCGAUCCCGUGUCAGAGAGUUCGGAAUGAGGCAUUGAUGUGAGAGUUGGGUAGAGGGCGUACCGGGCAAUACCACAUAAUCCAGAAAAUGAUCCGGAUUCUCUUUGCAGCCUUAUGUACCCAGCUUCGCCCCAGUUUUGGCCCCAUGAGUUCUUUAUGAUCCAAAAUUUGUCUCCAGUCGUAUCGUCUUCUCCAUAUCCUAUAAUCGUGAUGGCAUGGUUAAUUUUGGUUCCACAAGGUCCUUUAAAGAUACCACCGCGGUAUAACUGGAAGUUCUUAUCGGCAUCGACUGCAGCAGCAACCGGUUGCUGCGACACAGCAUUCAUAAUGCUUCUUUCAUUUUUAGGAAGAAAUUUAUACCCAGUAAUGUAAGCUUCAUUGGGCACGAUAGUGGCGUCGACGCAAGUGCCUAUAACUCCAUUAUAAGGAUAGGAAGGCUCAGUUGUCACUCCUUUAUUAGCUAUGAUGAAAUCGUAUCCUUUUUCCACAAAGCCACCACGUUUGCACCCGUAGCUGUGACUGCAAUCUAGAAUUUGUUGUUCUGACACAUCUGGCAAUAUUCCUUUCUUGAUUUUGUAGAUCCCUUCCACCGUCGCAGCUGCCACAAACGCCCAACAAGAACCUAUAUAUAUAUAUAUAUAUCAAAAGAGAGAUUCAUAUUAGCUUCUACUGGAGAAAUUUGUGGAUUGCUUAAUACCAGAAAACAUUCGAACAAUUGAGCUUUUAUAUAUAGUUUUUCUAUAUAAAACCUAUAUACAUUUGCUAUGAAAAGAGAAAAUUUUCAAUCACUGGUUGUGACGGAAGGUUAAGCUACUAAAGAAUAGUACUCUCAAUCUCAAAAAAAGUAUUUUUUAACCUUUAUUUUCGACACUUCCCUUAAAUUUAGAUUCAAGACAAUUUGGUAGGCCCAAAAACAUGAAAUUGAAUUAAAUUGGAGAAAAUUAAGGAGUACACUGGGAUUUAAAUUUGCGGUCUUUGAUUGUAAUACCAUAUUAAACAAUCAAUUGUCUCUAAAAGCUUAAAAUUUAAGAUUUAGUAGAUGAUUAAUUGGGUGUUUCACAAAAUUAAAGUGCUUUUACAUAUUAUACUGAACAUUUCUUACUGCAUGUGCCCUGUUGCUUCACUUCUGUGACAGCACGAUCAUCCCUCCAAUCAACACUUUGAGGCGCCGAAGACAGGUUUACAUCCUCAAACGACAUCAAGGGCUCCGACUUCUGAUUUGCAGGGACAGAUAAACCAGUGUAUUGAGCCAAAAAUUCAUCAGUCGUCAUAUCAGCAAACUGGUUAACACCGAGAGUGUACGAGUUUCCGCUGCGGUUAUUGAAGGUUUCAACGUAGUUCACAUUGUCUUGAAAUAUCUGAAACCGGCGCAGCUUCUCGACAUCGUCAUUGUAAACUCGACCGUUCUCGGCCAUCCAUUCUUCAAACCGCUUCAUCAUGGGAUCACUGGGUUGGCCGCGAGAAGCUGCCGAUGGCGAAGCCCACAUCAAACAAACCAUCAGGUGAAAAACCAGUAGGUGAAACUUAAAAGCCAUAGCACUAAAUAGCAGCAAUACUUUGGAAUGGAAACUACAAGAGUUUUCGUUGGUGAGGAUGAGGUCCUCGCAUAGAGUUUUUAUAGAAGUACGUGGCUACUUGUUGGAGCAUUAUGAAUACAGAUCGAUGCUGGGGAAAAUAAUUCGAGGAAAAUAAUCGAAGGGGCUGUAGUUGAGGGAUCCAAAGCUGGGUUGAUCCAAAUCCUUUUAUAAUAUCAUAAUUUUACGUAUAUGCCAUUAUUAGUGCACAACCGACCGAACGGGUUGGUGAGUUACCAAAUUAAAGAAAAGUAGAAUCUGUUCAAAUUAUUUCAGGACCGUUCCCAUUAUUCAGCGUACGUAACUAAUUAUAUAUGUGGUAUGCUCACAAGUGAUUGAAAUUAUUAAGCAAACAAUGUAUUGAGAACCCCUCAUACAUGAAUUAUGAGAUAGUGUGUUGGAUUAAUAAAGUAAAUUUUGGACGAACCCUGAAUUUUAGCUUGCGUACGUAGUUUCUACUUAUAGCCUUCUGUGUGUGUGUGUUAAUAUCUAACGUGAGUUAGACCAGAAAUAGAUAAAAAUUAUAGGACUCAGAAGACAAAACCUUCCACUAGGCUUUUCUAGUAUACCAAAGGAACGAAUUAAAUGAUCUCUUAUAUAGCAACAUAAUUAAACUUCUCCUAAUAGUCCAUAUUUUUAUGGGUAAAAUUAUAUUGUUACCUCCUGAACUUUUAGCAAAGUUUUCACUUUAUCCCUCGAACUUCUAAAAUGGACAUCUAAUACUCUAAAUUCCAAUAUUUUGUUCAUGUUACUCUUUCCGUUAGUUUUUUCAUCAAGCUCCGUUAACCGGAAACUGACGGAAGGGAUAAAACGAAUAAAAUAUUAGAGUUUAGGGUAUUAGAUGUUUAUUUUAGAAGUUUGGAGGGUUAAGUAAAACUCGCCAAAAGUUCAGGAAAUAGCAGUGCAAUUUCACAUAUGAAAAAUUAAGGACCUAUUUAGCUCCUUAAAAAAUAGUAGAAAACUAUUUUUUGCGGAAAAUUUUUUUGUGAAAAAAGAGAAUUUUAAAUUUUUAUUGUUUGCUUCGACAAAAAAAAAAAAAAAAAGUUUUUCAUUCAUGCAUGUUUGGUGACAAGAAACAAAUGACGAGAGAGUGAGUGAGUAAUAGCUUGCCAGCGCGAUGCAGCAUAGCGUACGCAGCAGCCGUAACUUUCACGCGUGAUGGGGCAGUAGUUUGUGGACGCGACAUAGCCAUAAGGCAAUGGUGGCGCGGGCAAGAUGCAGUCGGAUUGGUGGCAACGAUAGCAGCAGAAUGCCGAUGUAGACGGAUAGGGAGAGAGAGAUGGUAGACACCGCCCGUUGCAAUUACGAGAUAAUGGGUAGAAAGUAAAGAAAGAUUCUUUUUUUUUAUAUGAGUGUAGCUAUCAUACAUUUAUGAAUAUAAACUCUUUUAUAUUUAUAAGCUUUUUACCAUUAAAUCUAUUUCUUAAUUAUUUUCACUCGUUAGAUCAUACUAUUUAAUUAAUCACUCAUUCAACUUUAGGAGGCCACCAUCAUUUCUAACCGCACAAUCAUUUAUCAACCGGUAAAAAAUUUAGAAAUACAAAGAAAUCUAUACUUAUAAGAGUAUAAUAGUACUAAUCCUUUAUAUAUAGGGUUAAUUUUAUACAGAUCCCUACAAAUAUAGUGAAUAACAAAUAUAUUCCUACAAAGUUCAAUUUUCAUAUGUUGUCCCUACACCGACCGUCCUUAGAGCAAGUGGCAAAGGGUUUGGUGGUUGGUGCUCGAGACCCAAAUUCGAAUCCUUGAUUCAGAUUUCCAACUAAGUUUAUUUCUAAAUAAAAUAAACGAAGCGGGUAACAUAUGUUGUCCCUACAAAUGUUCUGAUAUUUUCAAAUAUAUUCCUCUGAUUUAUUGCUUUUAGAAAACUGUUUAUAUUUUCAAUUUUGCCAUCACAAAUAUAUCCCUUCAAAAACUAUAACAAAAUAAUAUAAAAGGGUAAAAAUAUUAAAAGCUAGUUAGAGUUAAAUAUUUAAUCUAUGGUUAACUAAAAUUUUCUAACGAAUUCUACUGGUAGGGACAUAUUUAAAAAUAUCAUGAUUUUGUAGGGACAAUAUAUGAAAAUUAAACUUUAUAGAAGUAUAUUUACCAUUCAUUAUGUUUGUAGGAAUCUGUAUGAAAUUAACAAUAUAUAUAUAGGACGGGUUCGGAUUCGGGUCGAGUAUAGUCAAAAUCCAUAUCCGAAUUCAUAUCAAUUUUCCAUCAAGCUUCGUUAAUCGGAAACUGACAGAAAGAAUAAAACGAAUGAAAUAUUAGAGUUUAGAGUGUUAGAUAUAUAUCUAUUUUAGGAGUUUGCAAGGUUAAGUGAAACUUGCCAAAAGUUCAGAAAGUAGCAGUGCAAUUUACCCCGUAGAACUCUUGACUAUAAAUUAUUUUAUUAUAAUAUGUUACUUAUAAAUUGACUAUUAACCCUCAACUUAGUGAUCAUGCUUGAUUUUGAAUUUAUAUAUAUUUUUUAUCCUAAAAUAAAUUAUACCAUAAUUUAUCCUACAUUUUAUUGUAGUAAAAUAAAAACGAAAAAAAUGAAUUAGAGUGGCUUAAAAAUAAGAAAAGUGCGAUACUAAUUACCUACGAUACUCGAACACUCUACUAUCCUUAUUUACUCGCUAAUAUGGUUGAUUUACAAUAGGUGUACUCACUCAGAUAUAGAUAUUUUAAUUCUUAGUUAAUUUUCUAUACUACUCGUUUGUCCUUUUUAUCUUUAGAAGUAUUGUUAUAAAAAAUGCAUUUAUUUUCUGUAAAAUUAUGCAAUGUAACUUUAUUGUAGUCUAAAAUAAAAUUUGUGUACUUCAUUUCAGCCAAUUAAAAAUUUUUAAUAUAAAAAUAUAAAAUAAUAUUUUAUAAUACUUUAGAACAAUGUUUCUAAAGUAUGAUAAAUUAUGAUAUGAUUUAUUUUAGUAUAAAAUAUAUAUAUAUAUAUAUAUAUAUAUAUUCAAAAUCAAGUAUGAUCACUAACUUGAAAUUUAGUAGUAAAUCCAUAAGUAACAUAUUAUAAUAAAAUAAUUUAUAGUUGGGGUAAAUUGCAUUGUUACCUCCUGAAUUUUUGGCGAGUUUCACUUAACCCCCCAAACAUCUAAAAUAGACAUCUAACACCCUAAACUCUAAUAUUUCAUUCGCUUUACCCCUUCUGUCAGUUUCCGGUUAACAGAACUUGACGGAAAACUGACGGAAGUGGUAACAUGAACAAAAUAUUAGAAUUUAGGGUGUUAGAUCUCCAUUUUAGGAGUUCAAAGGGUAAAGUAAAAUUUCGUCAAAAGUUCAGGGGAUAACAAUAUAAUUUACCCAUAUUUUUAUCGUGUUGGAACCCAAUUAAGUAAUUUACAACCUCAUCCUACAAAAUGAGAUAUAAAUAGUUUACAGUAAGUAAACGGCACACUUCAAUUUUUACUUGAUAUUCGUGUCAAAUUAAGCUGAAUACACUCAGACAAAGUACAAACAGUGGGAUAAUUAAUAAUACAUAUUCAAACUUGGAAUACAAAGCAAGUAACGAGCGAGGGAGAGAACCACACAACAGCCCUUUUUGUGACUUAAUUACAACCUUAUACAGGAGCAAACAAGCACUUAAUUGAUUAGAUAGAGCUUGUUAUGCCCUCAGAUCCCGUGUCAGAGAGUUCGGGAUGAGGCAUUGAUGUGAGAGUUGGGUAGAGAGCGUACAAGGCAAUGCCACAUACUCCACUGUAUGAUCCGGUUUCUCUCGCCAGCCUCAUGUACCCAGCUUCGCCCCAGUUUUGGCCCCAUGAAUUCUUUAUAAGCCAGUAUUUUUCUCCCGUAUAAGAGUCUGCUCCGUAUCCUAUAAUUGUGAUGGCAUGGUUAAGUUUAGCUGCACAAGGUCCUCUGUAGAUACCGCCGCGGUACAACUGGAAGUUUUUACCGGCAGCGACUGCAGCGGCUACCGGUUGCUGCGCCACAGCAUACAUGAUGCUGCGCUCGUUCUUAGGAAGAAAUUUAUAACCAGUAAUGUAAGCUUCGUUGGGCACGAUACUGGCGUCGUAGCAUUGGCCUUUAGCUCCAUUGUAAGGAUAGGAUUGCUCGGAUGUCACACCUCUAUUCGCUAUGAUGAAAUCGUAUCCUUUUUCCACCCAGCCACCGAGUUGGCACCCGUAGCUGUAACUGCAAUCUAGAAUUUGUUGUUCUGACACAUCUGGCAUUAUUCCUUUCUUGAUUUUGUAGAUCCCUUCCACCGUCGCAGCUGCGACGAACGCCCAACAAGAACCUAUAUAUAUAUCAAAAGAGAGAUUCAUAUUAGCUUCUACAGGAGAAAUUUGUGGAUUGUAUACAACCAGAAAACAUUCGAAAACAUUCGAACAAUUGAAUGUUUAUAUAUAGAUUUUUCCAGAAAAAAAAAAAAAAAAUCUCAGGCGGUAUUCCAAGCUCUGUGUUUCUUUUAACUUCUUUUCACUAGCUAGCGUGUCAUUCCGCGUCCGAGUCAAGUUCUUAUUUGUUUUACUGAUAGAAGGUUAAACUACUGGAGCACCAUUUUUGACUAAAUAUCAUUUCAUCUCACAUCUUAUUUGAAGAUUUGUAGUAGGUGAUACUCAUGCUGAUGCAUUUUUUAUUGGUUUAGGGCCUGAACUUUGAAUUUUAAAAUAGGGAAAAUAUGGCUAUUUUUAUCAAAAAUAAUUAGUAGAUAAUUAACUGGGUGUUUCACAAAAUUGAAGUGAUUUCAUAUACUAUACUACUGAAAAUUUCUUACUGCAUGUGCCCUGUUGCUUGAUUUCUGUUACAGCACGAUAAUCCCUCCAAUCAAUACUUUGAGGCACUGAAGGCAUGUUUACAUUCUCGAACGGCAUCAACGGCUCCGACGUCCGAUUUGCAGGGACAGAUAAACCAGUGUAUUGAGCCAAAAAUUCGUCGGUCGUCAUAUCAGCAAACUGGUUGACACCGAGAGUGUACGAGUUUCCGCUGCGGUUAUUGAAGGUUUCAACGUAGUUCACAUUGUCUUGAAAUAUCCGAAACCGGUGCAGCUUCUCGACAUCGUCAUUGUAAACUCGACCGUACUCGGCCAUCCAUUCUUCAAACCGCUUCAUCAUGGGAUCACUGGGUUCGCCGCGAGAAGCCGCCAAU
Molecule: long non-coding RNA, 70794 nt
Filed under: Ananas comosus (pineapple)
Lineage: Eukaryota; Viridiplantae; Streptophyta; Magnoliopsida; Poales; Bromeliaceae
Description: long non-coding RNA (ACOM_LNC008224)
Source: RNAcentral